RNAcentral lists this long non-coding RNA (66762 nucleotides) under Brassica napus (rape). Its description in RNAcentral is "long non-coding RNA (BNAP_LNC014161)". The stretch from base 58349 to 58431 matches the Rfam family "tRNA". Lineage: Eukaryota; Viridiplantae; Streptophyta; Magnoliopsida; Brassicales; Brassicaceae. The record is from RNAcentral.
UUUCUCUUCCUCACACAUCUCACUCACUCACUUGAUUCUCAACAACUAACAGUUUCCGAUUUCGUUGUAACCCUAAAAUUAGGCAAAACGGCGAAAUGGGAUAAGAGAGAGGAGGAGAAUAUGGCGUCGCAGAUUCUCCCAUUCUCAUACCUUCCGCCCCCUAAAUCUCCACCACUCGCGAAGCAAGCCAUGUACAAGCCUCUCCUCUCCCGCGCCUCCAGCUUCAACGGCUCCGCUCUCGCCACCAAUGGUGGUGGUGGCUUAACUGCUUGGUAUCACAACAAACGGCGACGUUCCAACAGCGAUAAUAACUGCCUCUCCGCGCUUCCCGAUCGUACUAACGGAACCGACGGCGGUGAUGAUAGCACUAUCGCUCAGGAUGUUAGCCACGCCGCUGCCGAGACCUUCUUGUUGACUCGUCUGUGCUUGAAGCUCCUGAGCUAUCUUGGGUAUCAUCUAUGACAGAAAAAAGAAAUGAUCUUUCUUUCUUUUGUUGUUGGGUUUGUAAGAUGAUUGAUCACUGAUUCGGAAACUGUUGUUCAGGGUAGGAUAUAGAUGGAUCACAAGGUUUAUGGCUCUUGGUUGCUAUGCUUUCUUGCUUAUGCCAGGCUUUCUUCAAGGUUCUUGUAGAUUUUUGUUUUUUAGUUUGGAUCUUGUUAAGUUCCAUUGCCUAAAGGUUCGGACUUUUACUUUGCAGUCGGAUAUUACUAUUUCUUCUCUCCUCACGUCCGUAGAAGUAUUGUUUACGGUGAUCAACCAAGAAACAGGUCAUUCUCCUGUACUGCUUGCUUAUCACUUCCACUAUGUAGAUUGUUUAUGUUUUUGCUUUCUUCAGGCUUGACUUGUAUCUACCUAAGAACUCCGAUGGUCCUAAACCUGUUGUGGCGUUUGUCACUGGUGGAGCCUGGAUUAUCGGGUGAGUUAUGGACACUCUUUUUAUGCUAUUGCGUUGAGGAAGAACCUGCAUUUGUCGUCUUACAGAAUUGUGUUUGAUACAGUUAUAAGGCGUGGGGUUCUCUUUUAGGACAGCAGUUAUCAGAAAGAGAUAUUAUUGUCGCAUGCAUCGAUUACAGGUUAUUAUUAUGUGUGCUUAAGGUUUUAUUUUCUGGCAACAAUGAAUGUGAUGGUGUCCUCUUAUCUUCCAUCACUUUCCAUUAUACCGUUUUUGUUUUGAUUCACAGUUUCUCCAUCUCACUGGUAGUAAAUUUUCUUAUACAGGAAUUUUCCUCAGGGAUCUAUUAGUGACAUGGUUAAAGAUGCUUCGUGUGGAAUCUCAUAUAUUUGUAACCAUAUUGCUGAGUAUGGUGGUGAUCCAAACCGGUAUCAAUCCUGUCAACACUUGUUGAACAUGGAAGCUCUCAGGUUUUAAAUUUUUUGUUCACUUAUUUCUGAUCUUUUUUUGUCGUGUAGAAUUUAUCUGAUGGGUCAGUCUGCUGGUGCACAUAUCGCUGCUUGCACCCUUGUAGAUCAGGUUGUUAAAGAGUCAGGGGAAGGGGACAGUGUUUCUUGGAGUAGUUCACAGAUAAAUGCUUAUUUUGGCCUCUCCGGAGGGUAAGCCUUUCUUCUGAUCCCAGAACAACAAUACAUUUGUAAAAUGGUGGUAGGUUACCGAAGCAAGUAGAUUCAUGUCUUCUAUCCAACUAAAGACUAAAAGAUUUUAAAAUAUCUGUUAGACUUCACUAUAAUAUGUUUGUCUUUCCUUUGAAAUCUCUGUGAUCAUGAUCUACAGGUACAACCUUCUGAGCCUUGUAGACCACUUCCAUAGCAGGGGACUCUAUCGAUCCAUCUUUCUGAGGUAUAGUAUCUAUUCUUGGCAUAGCUUAAGAUGAGCUGUAGAGCAGCCUGAAAUAUUAAAGGUUAACAUGUGACUUUUGCUUUCCGCAGCAUCAUGGAAGGAGAGGAAUCAUUAAGUCAGUUUUCUCCUGAACUAGUAGUGCAAAAUCCAAAUCUCAAACACAUUGUUGCUCGUCUCCCACCUAUUAUUCUUUUCCAUGGUACUGCUGACUACUCCAUCCCUUCAGAUGCAAGGUAUGGCUAAACUUCAAUAGCCUUGUGUGUACAUGUUUGUCUCAUGUAGUUCAGGUGGUUGAUAUGGUGAUUGAACUUCUGGUACGUUAUUUUGUUGGUAGUAAAUCUUUUGCGGAAACCCUCCAGAGACUUGGAGGGAAAGCAGAAGUGAUCCUUUACGAGGGGAAAACACACACGGAUUUGUUUCUUCAGGUGCAAAAUGGCAGGUCUUGAAUGUCUAGUCGUAUAAGAAAUUGAAUAGUUGAUCUAGAAACUUGGUUUAUAUAUGUUAGGAUCCAAUGAGAGGUGGAGUAGAUGAGAUGUUUGAAGAUAUAGUAUCAGUGGUCCUGGGAGGCGACUCAGAAGUGGUUGGUAAAAGCGUAGACAGAAGGCGUCUUGUGCCUGAAUUCAUGUUGAAGUUGGCUCACUGGGUCAGUCCGUUCUAACUUUCACUCUCUCUAUCUCCCAGUAGAGCAGAGCGAAGUAAAGUCCUUCUGUGUAUAGUACUUAACAAGGAGACCGAAGAACCAUUAUACUUGGAAGAUACGGAUGAUUUUGAACUCUGAACAUGAUGAUGAACUGUAUUCCAGUUUGCAAUACACGUUGAUUCUUUUGUCAUUCUCGGUUUGUGUAAUUGUAGAACAACAAAGAUCAGUGAAUAAAAAAAAGUCUUUAUUUAGUUAGUCUCAUUAAACUGUAUUGGUCUUCUCCUUUCUUCUGAGAGUUGUCAGUAUUGAACGGGAAGAUAAGCUCUUUACAAGAAAAGUCAAUACAAGAACACAAAAGGUUAUGUAUCAAAGCAGCAUGAAUAUUAAAAAAAAAAAAUGUAUGCUUCAUAAGAAAAAGGCUAAUCAGUGGCUUUGUGCGUCUUCGUGGUGUCGCUAAGCAUAAACGCAGUCGUUUUUACGGAACCAAUCAACACAGGCUCCGAGCGUAAAUUAUUCACAGGAACAGGGUUACAUUUGUAAAUACAGCCUACAGGCUAAUCAAUACGACGAACACGAGCCGCGCAAUUGGCUGUGAGAACAUCAUUGGUGAAUGACGGCGGGGCCCCCGUACUUAGACACGUGGCUUUCUACAAUUAGUUAGAAGAUGAAAGCUAGUGUUAGUAGACGAGGGUAUUAUGGUAAUAUAGAUAUUUUCUUGGAUAAUCAGAAAGAGAUGCUCUCGAUCUCAUCUCCCCAAAAUCAGAGUAAACCCUAAUUGUCUGUAGCUUUCUCUCUCGAAGGGGAUCUUUGCUUUGCCCUUUCUUGACUCUGGUUUAUUCCUUUCUCGUGAAUCUCUUCUCUCUCUCUCUCUCUCUGUUUGUGGAUUCGUCGAAGAGAGAGAUAUAGAUCCGGUAUGGCGACUGAUAACACGGGCGCGAAAUCGAGCUCCUCCUCGGCAGAUUCUUACGUAGGGAGCUUGAUUAGUUUGACUUCCAAGAGCGAGAUCAGAUACGAAGGCAUCCUUUACAACAUCAACACCGAUGAAUCCAGUAUCGGACUUCAAAACGGUACGAUUCCGUCUAAGGAUUGUUAGAUGUGUAGUGUAUAACUCUGAUUGGAUCUUCAUUAAUAAGUAGUGUUCAUGUCUUGAAACUGUUGCGGGAGCUUGAGUAAGCUUAGUAUGUACUGAUCCCUGUGAUGUCAACGUAUGUAGUCCGAUCAUUUGGAACUGAAGGAAGGAAAAAAGAUGGUCCUCAAGUUCCUCCAAGUGAGAAAGUUUAUGAGUACAUAUUGUUCCGUGGAACCGAUAUCAAGGUAUCCAACUUGAUUAUGCUUAAUGCUUUAUGUGAUUGGUGUUAUAAGCUUGCCCAUUUUGUGCAAUAAUUGUUCUUGUUGUUGCCAGGAUUUGCAAGUCAAAGCUUCUCCUCCAGCUCAGCCUACCUUAAACAAUGACCCUGCUAUCAUUCAGGUGAAUAUAAUGGAGAAGAUGUUGUAGAAUAAUCUUGCGCAGACGUGUCUUCAUCCUCCGAUUGUCCUUUUUUUUUUUUGCAGUCUCACUACCCUAGCCCGAUCCCAACAUCUAGUGUCUUGCCUCCCACCGUGAGCAAUUCAAUGCCUGACAUUAGUUCUCAUAAUGGACAACCUAGUCCUGGGCAGCAUGGGAUGGGAUUCCAAAACUCAAUGCCUUUGUAUCAGCCUGGCGGAAAUCUUGCUCCGUGGGGAGCCUCACCUCAACCACCAAUGUAUUGGCAAGGAUACUACACCCCACCUCCCAAUGGCCUUCCCCAGUUGCAUCAACAGUCUUUGAUUCGGCCUCCUCAUGGGCUGCCUAUCCCCGGUUCCCUGCCGCAACCCAUUCCGUAUCCUAACUUUAAUUCUCCUCAACCUACAGGGUCAUCAAAUUUGCAGGGCUCAAGCUUGCCGGAACCACCUUCGUCACUGUUUCCUUAUAGUAGCAGUUCUCAAGCUCUAGCACCCAGUUCUUUGCCUUUUACUGGUUUACCUAUGACGCUGUCUUCAGGCCAGCAAUCAACGUUGCAGUCAGCACCAUCUCCUUCCCUAGCUUCAGAGAUGGCACCUCCUUUGUUUUCGAACAAGGCUCCUAUUGCUGCACCUCCUACCCUACCUCAGGAUACUAGUUUGCUUCCCUUUUCUCCACCAACUACUAGAGCCACUGAUACAAGUGCUGGCUUUCCACUAGUUACUGAUCCUAUAUCUGUGCCACAGACAACACCAUUAGCAUCUGCUCCUGAUUCUGAAGUUUCUAGUUCCAUCAGCCAAGAUAAGCCAAAACCUUUGUUGGUUACUCCUGGCCAACUGUUGCAGUCUGGAUCUGCGUCAGUCUCUUUGUCCCCACACUCUAACAACGCUGGUAAAGAUGAUGAGUUGGUUCAAGUAUCAUCAUCAGCUGCGUUGGAACAAUCUGCUCCAGUUACAUCAGAAGCCCAACCCCCAAUACUGCCAUUGCCUUCCUCGGCAAGGCCAACUCAGAAGGUUUUGAACUUACACAAAUUUCCAAAUCUUUUUAUUUGCUUGUCAUCCCUUUAAACGAUAUUUGCUACUUCACUUACUGAUAUGAGAACGACCCUUGAAUUCUAGAGAAUUUUUUUGAGGAGGAAUGAACUUGAUAUGAUCUUCCAUUUGCUUGAAUAACCUGUAGCUGUUAUAUUUGUACCUGUGGUAAUGCCCAUCCUAAGCCUCUUUUUUCUUUGUUAAAGAGGCAUGAAAAGCUCUCUUGGUUCCUUCCUUGGUCUAUAUUAGAUUUCUUCUUGAAUUUCUACAUACAAGUCUUCAUUGUUUGAUGAUUAGUUGAUCUCGUUUGCUGAUUUUUUUUCUCAGCCAAACGGGCAUUCCUUCCCAACCCAUAAUGGUUACAGGGGACGUGUGAGAGGAAGGGGAAGAGGAGCAGGGGUAAUAUUCUUCUCUCAUUUUUAGAAUGUGUCGAGGCAUUUAAUUGUUUUUGCUAACAUCUACUAGUUAAAGUAUGCUCAUGAAUCAUAGCCAAGUAUGCUCAUAAUCCUCCUUGUUGGCAGCGAUCACACCAGGUAAUGAAGUUCACUGAAGAUUUUGACUUCACGGCGAUGAAUGAAAAGUUCAAUAAGGAUGAAGUAUGGGGUCAUCUUGGGAAGAGCACCAAUGGUGAUGGUGAUGAUGAUUUCCCAAUCGUAGAUGAACCUGAGCUGCCUAAGGUCGAGGUCAAAGUAAGUCAAGUAAACUUAUAAUAAAGUAAAACCGCCAUGUUCCAUCGCCCUCUCUGGUCUCAUAUGCCUUAAUUGUUUUAUUGAUGUAGCCUGUUUACAACAAAGACGACUUUUUCGAUAGCCUAUCAUCAAACUCCGGCAACCGAGAUUCCCAAAAUGCAAGGCCUAGGUUCUCAGAGCUACGUAAACUAGAUACUGAGGUACAAUCUAUAGUAUAUUUCUUCACUCAAAAAGCAGGCUGGACAUAAUUAGUUCCAGAAUCUGAAGAGAAACUCAUUGACACUUGACAAACGGUAUUUUGGAAUGAUUCCAGACAUUUGGUGAGUUCUCAAGAUUCAGAGGAGGCCGAGGAGGUCGUGGUGGUUAUGGUAGAAACGGUCAUUCACGUGGUGGCUAUGGCGGUCGUGGCUAUGGCGGCUAUAAUGGUCGAGGUGGUGGCGGCGGUGGAGGCUACGGGUAUGGUGGUCGUGGCCAAGGGAGAGGUGUGUGAAAUCGUACUUGCCUAAAAGGAUUUAUAAAAGACUCGGAAUCCGAAGGAGCUUAUCAUGCUCAUGUACUUUUGGUAUGUUGCAAUAAAAGAAAACAAACUUGAGUCUUAUGUAAUGCUUUUGUUGUUAGAGAAACCCCCCCUUGUGUGGUUUUCGAGUGUAUCAAUUUGAUUUGGGAUCUUUGUUUCAAGACUUCGUAAUACCAGUAUUCAGUGACAUUUUCUUUUGUUUCUCAAGCUUCUUGCCUUCAAGAAAUUGAAAGAAAGUCAACAUUUUGACUUUGAGAGUACUUAGCAGCCUUAGAUAAAAUGGGCCGUACAAGGAGAUAAAGAGAGAGGUCCAUAUGCAUAGAUCCAUAAUGUCUUUUUGUAAUAAUUGAAAGCAUCACUUUGUCGGCAAUUUUAAAGUCUGGGAGCGUACUCACACUGUAGUCAAUUUUGAAGAGAGAUAAUAGAAUGGGAAGUGCUUCACUUGUCUUGUUUGCGAGACUCUCGGGUUUAGUAAUCGCGGUUUUGGUUGUCUACUGGGCUCUCUUGCUCGUCCCUCAUCAAGGCCUCACAUACUCUGUAAUUUCUCACACUCCUUGUUGAUUUCAACUGGAUCACUCUCUAAUCAAGUUUGUCUUAUUGUAGACUCUUCAUCCUCUGCUGAUGGUAAUUGGCUUCAUUCUUGUAAGUGGAGAAGGUAGUAGCGAUCCCUCUCUCUCUUCAUAUCCUUUUGAAGAUUUCAUCUCUUAUCUUGAAUAAUUUAUUUGAUUAAUGCAGCGAUUCUGAUACACAGAUGGUUGCCUGGUUCAAGAAAAACGAAGAAAGCAGUUCAUCUAUGGCUGCAAGGGAUGGCAUUGGUCUCUGCUGUGUUUGGGAUAUGGACAAAGUUCCAAUAUCAAUCUGGAGUUUUCUCAAACUUCUACAGCCUCCAUUCUUGGAUGGGUCUACUCUCUGUUUCUCUCUUCGCUGCUCAGGUCCGUCCCUUUUUUUUUUUUUUUUUCUCACCAACAUUAUUAAUUUUAUUCAAUUAUUAUAUUAAUCAUCUGACAUUUUUGAUGCAUUAUCAAAUCUAUAAAAAAAUUGAAAGACUAGAUGCUUUCUUUUAAAAAAAAAUUAUUUCAAAAGGUUGGAUUACCCGUUGCUGUCAUUAUUAUUUUUCCUUUUAAAAAAAAAAAUAAUAAUUUCAAUCAAUAAUGUAAAGAAUGACUUAAGGAAGAAACUGAGUACCCACUUGGGAUUAGUUUCUAAUUGUUACGGAAAACUGACAAGAUUCCCUUUAAUUAAUUAUUAAACAGAUAGGACCAUCCAUUAUUGUCACUUCAGUCUCUACGCUAAGUUCACUAUGACACGUGGCAGACUCUUUAAAGGUGUAAAUAGUUCGUUUUAAUAGUUGUGGGGUUUGAUCCGGAGUUCUUAGGUUAUGAAUUAUUACGAAAAUGCCUCUAAUGUUUUAAUAGUAAUGCUGUUCGUCUUGCAGUGGGUGACUGGGUUCAUGAGCUUCUGGCAUAGAGGAGAAGUACGGACAACAAGAACCACGUUUCUUCCAUGGCACGUCUUCCUCGGACUCUACACCUACGGUCUAGCCAUCGCCACCGCCGAGACCGGACUACUUGAAAAGCUAACUUUCCUUCAGACCAACAAAAACGUCCCAAGACGCUGUCAUGAAUCAACGGUCGUCAACGGUCUUGGUCUCGGCUUGGUUCUGCUCAGUGGCGUUGUCAUAACAGCUGCUAUUUUGCCGAAGUAUCAGAGUGGCCAUUCUGGUAAUGAGAAACUCGUUUAUUCAUCUCAAGACCGUCCCAAAUGUUUGACUUCUUGAGUUUAAAAAAAAAAAUUGUUUUUGUAUUAAUAACUACACAUCUCUCUGGUGUACAAAUUAGUUAUGUAUUAACGCAUUGUGAUGGUUAGACUUCUGUCGAAAAACUUGGCUCCUCCAACUUUUCCUUGAAUCUGAGACGGUAAACGAAUCACUCUUCUUUGGUCCCCAGCUUCUAUCAAUAGCUCUGAGCCUCCUCUGUACUGCAGUUUCAUCAAAAGCAAAGAUACGUUUCAGUUAAUCAAAGAGAGUCCAAACUGAGAUAUGAGAUGUUCUUUUUCUUUACCUGGUACAGUUUGAUUUCUGAUUUUUCAAACCCUGGCAUGAACAGAGUCACUGACUUCUUAGCUGUAUCAAACGUUACUGGUGGUGUCAAGCUAACUGUUCCAGAAAGAACUUCCCUUACACUAGAAUUCGCUUGGUCCAGCAGAAUCUUGUCCCAGUCCAGACCGUUCCUAGUAAAUGGAACUGAUGCGGAAGCAAAAGGCAGCGGCACAAACUCCUCUCGUGUGAUUUUGUUCGACUCAGAAGAAGAUAUAGCAAAAGCUGCAGAAGCAUGAGAUCCUGCUUGUAUUGUACAGCCCCAAUAACGUAAUGCUGAUUUAACAGACAUGGGAUUGUUUGGAUCCAUUACAAGAAAGCUCCUGAAUCUGUCCGGAUCUCUCAACGUUGAAGCUCCAGUCUAUAAAAAGAUCCACAAGUAACCUCAGAGAUAAAUUUGUUGAAGGAGCUGAGUUAUGGAACAAAUAGAGAUACCUCCAAGAAACGUUCCAAAGUAUCCCACAUGGCAGCACUUGUCUGACCAUCGAAAGGCGACUUGUUGCCGCUUAUGUUCAUCGACUCAUCAACAAAUCUCAUGAUGGAAGGACUUGUUAGCCUCCCAAGAUCAGUCUUCUCAGCCAGACUCCUCAGGUAUUUCAUAUACAAUCUGCCAACAAAUCCCAUAUACUACUUAAAUAAAAGUUGCAAGAAAGCAAAGAAACACACAGAACAGUUCAAAGGAGACCUUGUUUUACUGCUUAAACCUAUCAUCCGAAGAGUCUCCUCAGUGCUGAUACCAUCGUAAACUAUAACGUCAAAAGCCUUUCCCUUGUGGUUCUUUCGGGUUGCUUGCCUGAAGAAACCAACGAGCCUCUCGAGUUCAAGCAUUGAGAAGAUGGAGUCCAUCCCUGGAAGCACUCCUAGCUCUUCUCCAACUACCUACUUCACAAAGAGGACUUUAAAAUCCCAACAAUUCUUUCUUAACACUAGCAGAUAUGAAGCUGUGUUCAUCACAUACCUACCCCUUCAAGAACCCCUUGGGUCAUGUUAAGUCGAGCGUCUGCUUGCUUCAGCUGUUUGAGAGGUUCUAGUAGCAUCUGCAUUGUGUGUUUUCCAUGAACGGUUGUUAAGUAAUGUUUAAAAAUUUAUUACCAGACAUAAAAGAGGGACAUACUUUAGUUGUUUCGAGCCUAAUAACGGAGAGAUUGUCGUUGAUUAAGGUAGGAGAAGCGCCAAUGUUGGUUCCGAGGAGGAAAUCAGCAGAAGGGUCUUGACUCUGUACCACAAGGCAUGUACUGAGCCCAGCCAAUGCGUAAUGCUAUUGAGCAAAAGGCAUUUGAAUUAGUUAUUAGUUAGUAACAACACUUUAUACUGACGACAGUUUCAGAUUGCAACAAAACAUCUGAAAGCUUCGAUCUUUCAGCUAAAAGACAUUCGAUGAAUUCUAGCAUUACAGGUUCCAUGAAUGCAAAAAGAAAGGAAUUAGAAGAAUGGUUGUUUUAAUGACCUGAGCGGCGAAAACAGAGGCGGUGGUCUUGCCGGAGCCGCCUUUGCCGAGAAAGGUGACGAAUUUGGUGGGUUUCUGACAAGAUUCAUCUUUGGAAGAUGUUGCCACCACCACCACAGCCACAGAAGCUGCUCGGUGUUUCCUGGAGAAUGACGUCCGCACAAGAGAUGAGAGGAUAUCGAGACCAGGGCUUGAGCAUGAUGUAAGAGAAGAAGCUAGCAAAGACACCAUUUUUGGUGUGAAUUCAAGAUAUCUCAGAGUGAGUGGUAGCUGUGGAGGUUUUUGAGCGGGGUGGCUUGUGAUAAAGGAGAUCUGACACAGCGACACACAAUUGACGCUUGAAUUCGACCCAGACCGAACUCUUUCACAUUUUCCAACUACUUUAUUCAUACUGCUGAUCAUGUUCCAUAAUCUCAGCUAAUAAAUGUUGUUUGGUCAUCUAAUUGCAAAACUAAUUAAACGCAUAUAAUAAUAAUCUUUAUAAUCCUUAAAACCAAAACAUUAUUUUUAAUAAUAUAGAUAAAAAAAAUGUUUAGCCGCAAUUUCUACCCUGAUUUCUCAUCAGGUCUCUAUUGUCUAAUGGAGAUUAUAAUUAUAAUUAACAAAUCCCGGUCUGAAUUGCAAAUUGAUUGGUAGUAUAUGGUUUGAGUCGGAUUGGACCAAUUCAACCACAUCCUGAACCGACAUGGAGAAAAAAAAAAAAAAAAAAAAAAAGAAAUANNNNNNNNNNNNNNNNNNNNNNNNNNNNNNNNAAAAAAAAAAAAAAAAAAAAAAAAAAAAGGCAUCUAGCCGCGUGUGUAAGCAACACUAAAACGGCGACGUUCGCAAUUACAACUCUUCUACAUAGGGCGAGAGAGCCAAAGAGAUUUUAGGCUGAUACGAGGAGAAAGGAAAUUAGGAAGAAGGAUUAGAUCAAUCUCGAUUGAACAAGAUGGUACGUGCUGUUCGUUUUGAUUUGUAUGUUUUUCUAUUGAAAUUGAUCUCCGAUGCCCUAAGAUCGAAUUUGGAUUUAUUAGGAGAUUUGGUUUAGGGUUCGUUGUUAUAUCUGACCUGAUGUGUAUCAAUAGAUUAGCGUAACUUAAGGUUUUCUAUAAUUUGAAGGGCUUUCACUUGUUAUCAGUUUUUCUUUUCUAUAUGUUUCAGCGAAUGAAUCUUAUUGGGGAGUUUCAUUGUUGGUUUAGUAGUUUAAUGUGUUAUUCGGCUACUAUAAUCGAUUGCUUGCGUUCUGUAUCAUAUAAACUUGAAAAAAUCUAUAUGAGGGAGGAUCCUAUUUUAGUUUGGUGUUUCAUUGAUUUUAGCUUCUUUUUUUUUUUUUUUUUUUUUUUUUUGUAUCGAUUUGUGAUGAUUCAUCAAAGAUUUGGAUUUUCUGGGUCAAAGUCCGAUUAUUUAGCUCGAUUUCUAUCGAUUUGUGAUCUAACUUUUGAUUCAUCCUUAAAAUUGUUAUUUUUCUCCCAUAAAGGUUCUUACUUUGUGGUUGUAGAUCUGUGAUAUCGUUUUCUUUAUCAUAAAGUUUCAUACUUUGGCUUGUAUUAAUCUUAAGUUUAUAUAUUUGCAGGGGUUUGCUAAGUGCUGCUAACAUAUCUUCCAGCGAAGAUGCAGCAGGCCUAUGAACAAGAUUCUUUUUUUUUUUUUUUUUUUUGAAUUGGCAGGAGAGUACUCUCACUUCGGUUGAAAUUUUCAUACUUUCUCUUCUUUUUUUUUUUUAACAGGUUUGAGAUGCCGUAUAAUAUAUGGUGUGGUGGCUGCAAUUCUAUGAUUGCCAAGGGUGUUCGUUUCAAUGCUGAAAAGAAGCAAGUUGGCAACUAUUACUCUACAAAGGUGCGUACGAUUUAGAGCAUGUGCAAUAUAUAUUACCUUUCGCAUGCCUUCUACAACUAUGGCUGAGGUUUAUAUCUUAUAUUAUGGUCAGAUAUGGAGCUUUGCGAUGAAAGCACCGUGCUGCAAGCAAGAGAUAGUCAUUCAGACAGAUCCUCAGAACUGCGAGUAUGUGAUUACUAGUGGUGCCCAGAAGAAGGUUGAGGAAUACGACGUUGAAGACGCUGAAACCAUGGAGCUCACUGCUGAGGAAGGUUGGUUUUCUACCUUCUUCCACAAGUUUGCUUUUACAUUCUCUAUAUGUGUUUUAGCUUUCCAUACUUAUUGUUCUCGAUUAUGAUUUUAUAAACCAUAUAUGCAGAGAAGGGAAAGCUGGCAGACCCGUUUUAUCGUUUAGAGCACCAAGAAGUCGAUCUGCAGAAGAAGAAAGCAGCAGAACCGCUUCUGGUCCGUCUCCAGCGAGUCUCAGAUGCAAGACACGCAGAUGACUACUCCCUAAACAAAGCUCUACGUGCCCAGAUUAGGGUAAGUUACUUACAAGUCUCCGCUUGCACUCUGUUUUUUUUGUUGUUGUUGAUUCCUCCUUUCUUAACUUUCGCUCUCUCCCUCUCUAGGGACAAAGGAAACGUGUAGCUGAAGAAGAGGCUGCUUCAAGGAAGCUAGGCUUGGGGAUAAGACUUCUUCCCAAAAGCGAAGAAGAUGUUGCAGCUGCAUCACACGUGAAUUUCAAGACCAAGUUUGAUAAGAACCUAAAGGAUAAACGAGCGCUGAUCCAUGCAUCUUCCAUCUUUCCCGAGUCAUCUUACUCCAUGUCGUCAUCGUCGAGCAAGAAAAGAUUGGAGCUAGAAGCUAAGAGAAGGAAGAUAUGCGCAGGGUCAGCGUCGAGCUUAUUGAGUGGAGGAUUCAAAGCUUCAUCAUUGUCUAAAACCCCAUCAUCAUCAACCAAGUUCAAGAGCUCAACAGUUUCUGUAAGGAAGCUGUAGUUUAGGCAACUGUUUCUGAAUCUUUGCGAAAGUUAAAUCAGUUGUCAACUUGUUAUACGUGUGGAAAAUUAAAUUGGAUUCUGACUUUGGUCUUGUCAUCAAUAUGUAAUAAUAAGUCAACAUGAAAUGAUUGAAAUGAGUUGAUAAGAAAGAUAACAUGAUUUGGAUCUUUAAAGAGCCAUUGCAACAACAGUCUACUACAACAGUAACACAGAAACAUGCUUGUUCAAGGAGAUGAGUGUAAUGGUUGAAGAAACAUCCUCAGAAGAUGUUGGGAAAGUUCGUUCAUGUCAUUCAAUGAGGUUGCUAUGUAAGACUCUCUCUGGAAGCUCUUUAUCCACAUUGGGCGUUCCCUUCUCAAGAACCACAUUGAUUCUCCACAACACCAUCCUACUCUCCAUUCUCAGGCCUUUGAUCUCAUAGAGCUUCCAAAGCAAAGCCUUGAUGAAUUUAUACUCAUUACCAUCAUACCACUCCACCUGUUUCUUCACAACGCUUUCAAGAUCUGUGAAAGCUCUCCUCACAAGCCCAACUUCCAUUCCUCUUUCCACAAGCUCUCUUACUGAAUCAACCAUCUUAUCUACAGUCUCCGCAACUGAUUUAGUGUAGAGCUCUAACAAGUGAAUAGCAGCACAGAACCCACCCACAAACGCCAACACCCAGGAGCUAUUAUCAACCAACAACUCUCCUGGUGGGUUCAACCUUGUCCUUAUCUCCAGGAGUAGUUUAUCAACCGCAUGAAUUACAUAUUCGUUAUCAUCAGACAUCAUUGUCAAGCACUGGAAGAUAUAAACGGUUCUCUCGAACUGUGUACUGCACUCUGAUGCAAUAUAGUCCCAUAGCUCGAACCAUUUAUCCUCUUGGUAGGACAAUAACUCAAGCGCAACGUGAAACACCACCUUGCCAAGAAUCUUGAACGUGUUCUCGGUAACUCCUACUUCAGUGAGGCAAGACAUAAGCGGUUUCUUGAACUGUAUCACCUCCAAAACAUCAAUCUCCGCUCUCUUUGAAGUGUGGUCACAAAGCAUAUCGUGGAGUCGUCCGAUUGCUAUCUCUCUGGACUUGUCAUCCAUCGUAGUUGAUGCGACCAUUCGCAAGAUUUCCACAGCGGAUAUGGUCUUUAACUUGUUGUACAAGUCAUGAUCAAACCCUUGAGAGGGGCUGAGUUUGAAGGCUUGGUCGGAGACGUGACUCUCAAGCUUCGUGACCAUCUGAUUGAUCUUCAUCGCAGCCUCUUUGGUGUGAGUUCCGAUUCUCGAGAUCUUGAACGCAAACUCUGACAAAAACCCGCAUUGGUUCCUACCGUAUCUACACGUGUUAGCGUCUAGCGCAAGGAACUUCACGAGAUGAGCAAGCCCUCGUUGCAGAAGCUGUUCUUCACCCUUCCUCACAAGCAGAUUAGCUGACUUGAGAACAGUGUCAAGAAUCACCCUUGCCACAUCCAAACCCUUUUCUGAAUUAGAAAGCUGAAUCCCUAGCUUAACAGCAGUUUCAAGAGCUAGACUCCAGUACUCUUCGUCUGUAUCUUGCUCAUCAUUAAGCAACAGUACAUCCUCGAUUUCUUCAAUGAGGUGUUUAAAGAACCGGUUGAUGAAGCCAACAUGGAGUUGCGGCAGAUCAAGAAAGACAUUGAAAGCCCUAACAGGAUCUGUGUUCACGAGCGUGAGCAUACAAUCUCCAAGCUCGUCCCACCCGUGAGGAUCAAGCUUCAUAGCAUUUCUUGCUACGCAAGAAACGAUUCUUCUUAGCAUCUUGGUGUCAGGCUUCUUGGCUUCCGGCAUCGUCAGGCAAGAAACAAGAAGAGGCUUUAUAACAUCGAGUGCCACGGGAGAGAGCUCGAAGCUGCGGUUUCUUAGACCGGUGAGGGCUUCGGAGAGGAGACUGAUCGCUCGGAACCUGAUGAGGUCGUCGGGAGAAUGUAGAUACACCUUGAGAAGCAUUAGGGUUAAGCAGUUCGAGAAGUUGACGACGCAGAACUUGUACAGAGCUUGCGCGUUUUGGUACUCGUAGGUUUCAUGAGGCUUGAAGAGUUUCUCGACGAAGUACGCUAAGCCUUCGUGGCUUGGAGUCGCGAGAAGGUCCCUGGCUGAAAACAUGAGAAGCGAUGAUUCCGCCAUUUUUUGUCCAUGCAAACGUGUGUUCAUGCAAGUGGUGAUCUGAUCUCUUGGAUGAUACAUAUACUAGGGUUAACAAUUUGGUUUUCGUUUAUUUUUCAAUUGGUCUUCAAUUUCUUUACAAUUUUCCUAAUCACAUGUACGUAGUUAUAUUUGGUUCAACAAAAAAAAAUGUUUGGGUCGAUUUAUUAUUUCGGUCGAUUUAGUUGGUUUUAGUGUGAGUAGCUUAAAAUGUAUUAGUUUAUACACUUUUUUUGGUUUUUGAUAAGUAUACUAGUUAACAUACUAUGAGUAUUAUUGGUUUUUAGUCUCAAUAUAUGUAGGAACCAAAAUUCGCAUUGUCGAUUUCCGUUUAAAUAAAAAAACUAGGAAAACCCUAAUUUUCCAAAGGUCCUGGAUAUCUGCUAAUACCACACGCCAAACAAUCAUAACACAAUAAUGACAACGAUAAAGUAUAAGAAAUCGUAAGAAGAGAGCAAAGAGAAGUCUUAUUCCGAAUUUGCGUAUGAGCGUUUACAACAAGGUAUAAGCCUGGGCUCGAGAGCUGUCGGCGAGAUUUCUAGUUCUUAAGACGGCUAAACCUAAUUGAGUCGCAGCUCGAAUAACAAAAACGGAAAGUUGCCUAAUUGCCCUAAGUGCUAAGUUUGUUUUGAGAAAAGUCCCUCUCCCCAUGCCUCUCGUCUAGAACUCCUUAUAUAUUGGCUCCUAGGUCGGUUUACGCUUUUUUCCUUCUGCCCUUAAGCCACCAUAGCAUAAAAAUGGAGAUACUCCAUUUUUUUCCGAUCUUCGUAAUUAUCUUCAAAAUUUCGUAUUUAUCCGCGGAAACUUGACAUUUUUCUUUCCUUGCGAACCAAGCGUAAACCGCCAAGCGGCUCACGGGCUGUUGGUUAAGAAAUCGUAAGUUGGGCCUCGAGUCAUGUCUUAGGUCCCUUUGGACCGUCUUCUGACUCGAAGCGUUUAUUACGGCUUCUUUCGAUAAAGAACGAACUUUCCGCGGUUUUUACGGUAAAGUUUGAUCGAUAACUUAGAAUGGCGGGGAACGUGAAAUGGGUUCGCUACGAUCUUCGGGAGAUAGCAUCGAAAGGUAGACGAGAAUACAUAUACUCUUCAUCUCUCCCCCCAAUCCAAAUCUCCUCUGGUAGCUUCCAUGGAUGAGAAACAGUCAGAUUUCCAGAUCCAAAGCUUUGAAGAGCUCGGUCGCUACGUAGCGACCGAGCGAACUACGUAGCGACCGAGCUUCUGCUCGAGCUCGGUCUCUACGUUGCGACCGAGCGGAACACGCGUUCGGUCACUGCGUAGCGACCCUUUUCGAGCUCUUGUUGAUGACUCGCGUUUCCUCCGCAAAGCUUUUCGUAAGGAAGAAUCUAUUUUGAAAAAGUAUUUGUCGAAGAAAGUUUUUCGUUUUCUUCUUCGGGGAUUUGGACGUUAACUUCGUCGCAACCGUUUUCGACCCCAACAGUUAGCCCCCCAGCUCGUUAGAGUCGAGACUCUAGCGGGCGGUUUGACGAUUUUGGCAAAGUUAAGCGUAUUGAACGAAGUUUACUUCAAACUCCGCGGAAGAGAGUUCUCGAGAAAGUGUUUAUUAAAAAAUAUAAAAUUCCGAGCCCUUACUUCUAUAAGUAGUGAGCUCUUGUCAUUCAUUUGCUUCACACCUUCCCUUCUUCAAACCUUCAAAACCUCUCUAGCUCCAAAUCUCUUGCUUUUAACAUGUCUUCUUCCCAUGGUGACAAGCGAAGUUCCGAUGUGGAGAUGGACGAGGCCACCUCUCCGGCGCCGAUUCCGACUUCUCCGGUUGAAGCACCGGCUUGCGUUGCGGACCAUCUCUCCUUUCGGGAGAGACUAGUUCGUCGCCAAGCCGAGAAAGAACAGGUUCGAGCCGACGUCGAGUUACCGUCCUCUUCUGCACUGGCCGUUGCUCCGGGUCAUGGGACCGAGGGCGUAACUCCGCGAGAUACGGGAACUCUCGCAGGCUCGGUCACUCCAGAUGCUUCGGCUUUACCUACUGGAUCGUCCAUGACUCCGAUUCUCGUCGAAGAUAAGGAGAGGUCUGCCGACUCUAUGCCUCCUCCUCCGGCCAGGAAAGAUAUUGUCCUAGCGCUGCGCGCUCCUAGUGUUGUUCCGGUUGCUCAGCCUAAGGGCCGGAAGAGGAAGUUUACCAAGGGCGGUGACGGGGAAUUUUCGCAGCAAGGAGACUCGAGCAUAGCGUCGGGGCUUCGCGGAAAGGUUUGUCGCUCGCUUAUUCUCUUGAUUGUUACAUAUUUUUCUAAAAGACAACGGAUCCCUAACUUUCUUCUCGUUUCGCAGUUCAUGUCGUUGAUCGACGGGAUGAUCAGCGAGUGCGGUUGUGAGACUAGUCGUCUCGCCGGGGAGUUGUUGGAGCUGCAGGGUAGAUGGUCUGAAACUGAGGCCAUGCUGACGACUAUCAAGGAUUCUCACUCCGUGAAAGUGUCGAAACUCGAGGUCGCGAUAGGGGAGCUCGAGAGGGACCUCGGGAAGACGGCGAGUUCACUGCUUAAGGAAAAGAAAGCCAGGAAGGCCAAAUCUUCGGAGGUGCGUCGUCUUCAGCGUCAGAUCGAGGGUGAUGCUGGGUUAGCGAGCCGCGGAAUUCGAGAGGCUACGGANNNNNNNNNNNNNNNNNNNNNNNNNNNNNNNNNNNNNNNNNNNNNNNNNNNACGCUCUUCGCUCUGAGUUUCAGACUCGCUUGGCGAAGAUCUCCGCUUUUCUGGGCUCCCUCGAGUGCAUCCGGAAUAGGGAUUUAGCCUUGGCGACGAUUGAGGGCGCGAUGGCCGUGGUUCAGUCAUUCCAGAAUGAAACUCCUCCGACCUUAGAGGUCGAAGAGGCCAGGCUGUCUGGCUGCAAGGGAGAUUUGGCAGUCGUGGAUGGAGAUUUGGAUCUCAUCCUAGCUGACCUGAAAUCCGCGUGCUUUCUUCCGACGUGUUCAGAAGGCCCAAAGGGGAAAGAUCCGGUGCUCAGAGAAGGCGGAGGUGAUGCGGCUCCAGGCUUGGACGAAGCGACGGGUGAAGAGGGAGCGUGAGUUCUGAGGAUGACUUUGGUUAGAUCUCUUGCGGGAGAUUUUUUUUUUAUGUUUGAUGUUUCGGCCUUAAAUGGCCUCAUUUCGUGUUUUGGGACUGGCCGUAUGUGGCUUUGAAUCCCUGCGCUCUGCGGCUUUCUUUUUAUGACAGGAUGAUCGAGUUGCAUUUUUCAUAAGUGUACGUAUGGCGUGGAAGAAGGGUGAUGAGUUGUCGUCUCAUAUCCUUCUUCGAUGUGAAAUGUUUCGUUUGAGAUCUGUUUCGAGAGUUUUUCCGCGAGAUAUUGACUUCGCGGGAUAUCUGAAGAUGUCGAAUAUAACAUAGAGGCAUGGUUUUGGGAUCUCGUAUCUUUUGGAUAUCAUGCCUUGAGAUGUUAGAGAUCAGUGCGUUGGGUUUAGGGCAAGACCUAGGUUUACUUUCGGUUUUAAGAUUUUAUGUGGUGACUAGCCGGCUAUCGAUUUAUCUGUCGCGAUUUUAACCUGAUUCGUACCGAUUUAAAGUCUGCGACAGGUUCUCGGCUUAUAUGACUUGUUAGAUAUGAAUCGGGCAUCUCUCCGGAGACAAUUUUUAAGCCAACCGGAAGUGCUGGACCAAAAUUUCGGGUUUCUUUUAUAGCGGAACACGCGUUCGGUCGCUGCGUAGCGACCCUUUUCGAGCUCUUGUCCGAUGACUCGCGUUUCCUCCGCAAAGCUUUUCGUAAGAAAGUAUCUAUUUCGAAAAAGUAUUUGUCGAAGAAGGUUUUUCGUUUUCUUCUUCGGGGAUUUGGACGUUAACUUCGUCGCAACCGUUUACGACCCUAACAAUAUAUAUCAAUAGAAUGGUCUUGAGUAGUUAGACAAAAAAGAAGAAGAAGAAUGGUCUUGAGUUUCCUAUCACUUGAGUCCGAUCAUUUGACAAAUUAUAAUAAAACAUUUAUUUUGGUUUCCAAAUUUAAUAUAUAUAUAUAUAUAUGUUUUAUAAAUUAUGAAAAUUAAAUUUGAUCCAAUUUUACUUUGAGAUGUUAAAGGUCUCUACAUUCUAUGGCCAGUUCUACCAGUCAUAUAGUAUAAAAUAUUGUAUGUAAUGAUUAAACUAGAAAUUUUAAGUAUUUAACCUGUCAUUUCAUUUUUGUAAGGGUGCGAAAGUUACAAACCGCAAGAUGUAGUUAAUAGUAACAAAAAAGCCUCUCUAUAUAUCUAUAUAUCUAUAUAUAUAAAAAUAUGUUCGCCUCAUUCCUGCUUUGCCACGUGGAAAGUCGAUGCCUGACAGGCCGACACGUGACACUCCUGCUUUGCCACGUGGAAAGUCGAUGUCUGACAGGCCGACACGUGUCCCAGCUGUAUUAAACGCAUCACUUCAUUUAAUCUGAAAAUUUGUUGGGCUUUUAUCGUUAGGGAAAUAUCUAUAGUGUUUUGGGCUACUAUUUUCUGAUUAUGUAUGCGGCCCGUCGGCCCGUCGGCCCAACCUCGAUAACCCUAAAUCUAAUGAAGCAAAGAAACGUAAGUCGUCUCUCUCCUUCUUUCUGCGGCGCUUGGAAACGUCUGAGCUUCUUCCAAAUCUCUGAAACGUAGGUCGUCUCUCUCCUUCUCAUUUAACAUAUUUAUAAUACUUAUGUUUUUUAUUGCCACUGUAAAAAAGUAUUUUAUUUAUUAACUCCAUUAAAAAUAUUAACAGUUAGCCAUUAAACUAAAUUAUUUUAACAAAACAAUUAAACAACCACAAAAUGAAAGCUCACGGAGUUGUUAUAAUAUAUAUUAGCCGACCAUUUUUUUCUAAUUGAAAUUGUACUCACACAUAAAAAACUACACCAGUAUUAUAUAAUAUUCAACUUUUUUCAGAUUAGAUGUUGUUCUAAUUUUUUCACACUAAUUAAGAAAAAUGUUAAAUGUUCCGUUUACCCCUAUUUAGUUAUUUAAAACUUAUUGAUUCUUUUCUACUAUUAUGUAAGGAUUAAACAAAAUUAACACAUAUUAAUUCAAAAGCAUACAACCUCACUCACACCACAUCUAAUUUUUCAUGCGGUAGACCUGUGGUAAUCAUUUCCUCGCACAGAUCAUUCUGUAAAGCAAACAACACUAACACAUAUUAGUUCCAAAGCAAAUCUAAGACACUACCAAUAAGAGCUAAAAUGUAUUUUCUCCAUGCCCAAACAUCUUAACAACCAUAAACAUUAUUAUACAUUUUUUCAAAUCCUAACAUAAAACACAUGCAAAGAAAAUAUACAAUAAUAUAGACAUAUACAUCAUACGUAAAUUAUAUCCCGCCCGUAGGGCGGGCCGAUCCUAGUAUAUUUAUAUGUUUUUGUUACUAUUAAAACUAGGAAAAGAACCCGUGCGAUAUCGCACGGGAGCUCAUUUUGUAAAAAUAUUUCUCGGAAACUCAUUUUGUAACAAUAUGUAACAAUGGAUAUCAUACUGAAUAUAUGUUGAUUUAUGUUGAUAUGAUCUUUUUCAUUUAUAAUAUGAUCUUGAAUUUUGAAAGUUCUUAUAAAACGCUAACAAUUAUUAUAGUACUAUUUGUUAGAUCUCUAAAUACUAUUUAGGAUAAGAUGAUAUUAAGAUAUAAAUUCUCUAAAAUUCCAUCGGUUUCUCAAUCAAAAAUUUUAAAUUUGGACUAAAAUACAAAAAUAACAAAUAGAACUCUUUAUGUUCAUGUUUGUUUCUUCAAACAUAUGUGAAAAUCGUUUAAUAUUACAUUUCUCCAUUUUAGUCUAUUUGUGAUUGUUAAUUUUUUUGUUGUGAUUUGUCAGUGUUCACAACUCUUUGUAUAGAUGACCAAACAUUGCAAUGUAAUAACUGAUAGUUCAUUUUAAUAAAAACAGUUGACAAAAAAUAAAAAGAUAACCAAACAUUGCAAUGGUUAGAUAAUGAUUACAAUGGUUAAGACCGAAAAUUACAAUGAUUUAUCAUCAAUACUUUUUUUUGUCAGCAUCAUCAAUACUACAAUUAGCAAUAGUUGCAAUGAUUUAUCAUUAAAGAUGGCAUUGGUUUUUCGAUAAGUUUCAAUUUGAAAAGUCACAUCUGUUCAUUUGAAAAGUUACAAAAUUUAGAUUUCCAUAACUAUUAGUUAACUAACUUGGUAUACGAAAUUAUUUCCUUUUUCUUCUUCUUCAGAUUAUUUCUCCAAUUACUUGUGGCAGAAAAGAUGUAGCUGGAGAUUGAGUGCGUCAGUUUUUAGAGAAGAGUUCGUACGGGAUCAAUGUUGUACAUAGCAAUGAAGACUAACUACAUUGCAGUAGAGAUGUUCUCGAAAAGGAGAAAAUUUUCAUGGAAACAGACUCUACACGGGUAAGCUCCUCUCUUCCAUAAACUGAUUUGUAAAGUUUUUUUCACUACAAUGUUUCAAGAAAAAAAACUUGAUAUACGACCAACCCAUGGGUGCAAACCUUAGAUAAUGACUGCACCAAUAGUAUUUCCAAAAGUAUAUUGAUUUGUAUAAACUUUUUUCUGUUCCAGACCUGAUAAAUAUAUUCACUGCUAUCAACAUUUUUAUCAAAUUUAACUUGUGGAAAAUUGGUUUUUAAAAAUUAGAAAUUGUUUGUUUAGAUUUUCUAAAAAUUAUAGUAUAUAGAUCUGUAAUUUUGCACUAACAAAUACACAACUCUUGAGACAAAUAAUUGUACAAUCAUAUUUUUUGGGAUAUUAACAUUAUUUAAAAAGUUAAUAUAUCCAAAUGAAAAUACACAACUUUUAAAAUUGAUAUGUUUUAGAAUUGUUUGUUGGAAACACACAUAUAUAAAUUGACAACUUUUAAAAUGAAAAUUAUGCUUUGAGAAGUCAUGGACAUAGCUAUUUAUAGAUUUUUAAAAAAUUUGUUUGAAGAGUCACAUCGUUUCAAUUUAAAGGUUAUUUUUAUUGAAAUAAUAAUUAUAUGAAAAAGUCACAAUUUUUCAAUAUAUAGGAUCACAUUUUUAAAUAUAUACAGUUAUUUUAAAAUAAAAAGACAUAACUUUUAAAUAAAAAGACACAAUUUUUAAUUGUUGAAAACAUGUAACUUUUCAGGUUCACAAUCUUUGGAAUUAAUUGAGAUCGCUGUUAUUAGUAGAUUAUGUAGUUGUUUGCAUGUUGGUAUUCAGACCUUAAAUUAAGCAUUUUUUAAAGGAAGAUGAGGUGUGUCGGCAACUUACGAAUCGGACAAACACGCAAUUAGAGAUGAUGGUUGGUUAUUUCAAAAAUAAUGAAAACAAAUUGGAUUGUAAACCCUAUCCAAGCCCAUGUCAUGAUAUUGAUAAAUACUAUGUUUAUUAUAGGCACAUCUAGUUCAUAUUUAACAUGCCAUUCAAUUACCCUUUAAUUUAUAUGAAGUGUGUAUUGACACGAAAAAACAAACAUAUUAAAUUAUAAAUACGUUAACUUACGAUAUAUUCGAGAAGUGCAACUUCUUCAGGUAUCAAUUUCUAUCCACCUGACCUACUUAAAUCGCAGAUGAAAUUAUUCGUUUGUUCGUAAUCUUCUUCUUCCUUUUGUUUAAGAAUGAGAAGAACUAUAUACAUAUUAAUUUACAUUAAAUUUUUUGUAAAAAGGGUUUUCAAAUUUACCAAUGUAUAGUAGUAUGACAUGUUGUGUAUCAAAAUAUGACGAGGUAAAGAAAAUGAGAACAGACGGGAUGUGGUAGCUCGUUUGGUAAAGACCUUGGGGGCCAACUGUCAUGCUCCCGGGUUCGACGCCAGGCAGAGGGGAACUGCCCAUCCUGUCAUCAAAUGCGGUACUGGGUGUUGGGCCUUGUCCUCAGCCCAGGUUUAAGCCCUCCCGGGUGAAGUGGACCGCUGCCUAACCGGGCCCAGGGAAUGAUCCACGUAAGUGGAGAACCCUGGAUUAUCAAAAAAUAAAAAAAAAAAAAUGAGAACAAUUAAAGUUAUUUUCUCCAUUACAUAAAACUUGUACAUAUUUAUAUACUCACAAUAUGAACUAUAUAUACUUAAAACUAUCUAAACUAUUAAGGCAGAAGUACGAAUAAAUCUUACUCCUUAAAGUUGCACAAAUAUUACAUCCCUAUGCCACUAUUAAAACUAUGUCGUUUUACUUACUCUCUUUUUCUUCCUAAUUCGUUGAUACAUAUCAACUAAACAAACCUUAUAUUAUUCUGGGCUUACAAUUUCUAAAUGGCCCAAACAUACUUAUUUAGGUAUAUGUGUAUAUCAAAUAGAUUUUGCAUAGACUAUCGUAAUUAAUUCAACUUCUUUCCUUCCAUAAUACAAACCAUUCCUAAAACUAUUCCUACAUUUACGAUAUUUAAAAAACAAAUCAACACAGAAUAUUUUUUCCUAAUUCUACGCAAUCAGCAUUGAAAAAAAGGAUCAAUAUAACUAACGAAAUCACAUAAUUAUCUUGCCAAAAACUUGGUUACCAAGUAAUUCUUAUCUUUAAAGAUCGAAUAUUCUCUUUUUCCUAUUAAAUAAAAAAAUAUGAAUGUACAUUAAAUAAUUUUACAAAGAUUUUGCCAUUGAUUCUGCGUUUAAAUUAUAACUACCAAAAUUUACCAUUUAAUUAUUACGAUAUUAACCUAACGGGAUCCCAUUUGAUAUGCCAACUAUAUAUACAUAUCUCCUCAAGUUGCAUCGAUAUCAUAUCAAAUCAAAGAAUAAAAAAAAACCUCAAUAUGUCUAACCUAACGACAUUUGUUCCUCUCACAAAACUCAGGCCAUUCAAAGACAACUGGAGAAUUCAAGUGAAAUGUUUACAUUCGUGGAAGCAAAACACACCUUUUGCAGGCGAUACUUUCGAGAUGGUGUUAGCAGAUCAAUGGGUAAGUUUUGUAACACACGUUUCUUCCUUUCAUUGUAUUACUAAUGUCAUGAAUCUAACUAAUAUGACCGUGUUUUUGUUAGGGUAACAAGAUCCAUGCUACUAGCAAACGAUCUCUCAUGCAACGGAUUCAACGUGUCUUACCUAUAGAUUCUUGGGGAGUUAUUGAACACGUUACUGUGACUCCAGCUGGUGGUCAAUAUCGAACAACCAACUACAAAUACAAGAUGGUUAUAGCAGAAGACGCUGUGCUAUCAAGAUCGGAUUUAGUUGAUGAUAGAGUUUUUAUAUCGCUUGCUAAUUAUGAAGAAAUUGAGAAUGGAACCAAAAAGCAAGCUUUUCUCAUUGGUAAUCUCUGUUUAUGUUAUAUUCAUAUUGUUUUAAAACUAUACUGACAUGCGUUUGAUAUAUAUCGUUACCUAUGUUUCUAUUUGUUAUCUUACAGACGUGAUAGGAAGAAUUCAUGACCUUGGUGAUGUACAGACUGUACAAGUUUCUGGCGAAGACAGAAAGAGGGUUCUGUUUCGCUUAGUUGAUGCAGAGUUAGUUUCAAAACAUUUUGUUUUUGUUAUCUUAUACACUUUAUUUUGUUCUUUUCUUUGACUAAAUAUCAUUCUUUGAUAUCGUUAGAGGAAACAAUCUUGCAUGCUGUCUGUGGGGAACAUAUGCUGAGCAACUUGAACCGUUUUCUCUAAACGGAAAGGAUCAAACAAUUAUUUGUUUGAUCAGGUUUGCAAAAAUCAAGGAAUUUAGAGGUUUUUUUUUUUUGACUCUUAUAACAUUAGUUGAUUAAUAUAUUUUUUGUUUGAUUGAAUUCAAAGCCUAUGUUUAAUGUUUUAUAGGCGAGCUGCAAAUCACUAAUGCUUUUGAUGCGACACGACUGUUCCUGAAUGCAAUGAUCCCUGAAGUUUCUAAUAUAACUCAAAGGUUUUGCUUCUGUUAUGAUUAUGAUUUAUAUAUUAUUACAUGCCUAUCUUAUAAAACUAAUUUUUAAAUGUCCAAAUUGAAAUGCAUUUAAGGCUGUCAAAUGAUGAUCUCUCUGUUGCUCUGGUCCCAAAACCGUCUGGAAAGAAGGAUGGUAAAAGAAUGUUGUAUAACUGGAAUGAUGCUGAGAUCAAAACAAUUGCAGAAGUCGCUGAGGCCAAUCAGGUACAUCUAACCAUUUUUCCGAAUGUAAUUGUUUUGCUUUAUGGUUAUGAACAUUUGAAUAAAAAUCCGCUUAUGAUUUUAUAAAAUAUUUAGGUGGAGAUUUGCAAAAUCAUAUGUACUAUUGAAGCUAUAGAUACAGAUUGGUCUUGGUUCUACAUUGGUUGUAACCGGCACCAAAAACGUGUACUUAAGAUUCCUAAAGUUGAUUAUAGAAGGAUGACAAAAAAAGAUAAGCCUAUGUUUCGUUGUGAACUUUGUCGUUCUAAUAUCAAUACUGUUGGACCCAAGUAAGUGAUUAUAAUUACUUGAACUAAUUGUUGAGAGUUCAAAUAUUUAGCAAGAUCAAAGUAUUCUUACUAUAUCCGAUUUUUGUUUUUAGAUUCAAGCUACAUCUGGUUGUGAAAGAUGACUCUGCAACAUGUAAUGUGAUGUUGCUAGGCUCUGUUGGUAAGUCCAUCGUUGGAGUGGAUGCUGAAGAAUUAUGGGAUGGCUCAUAUGAGGAGGUAUAUAUUUUUUUAUGAAUUUGUGUUUUGCAGUUACUUUUCUCUACAAUAAUAGUUUAGAUUUAACCCCCAUAUAUUUCUACUAUAUAUCAGAUUGAAGAUCCAGAUAUACUACCAGAACCUAUUCUUAGUUUGGUCGGCAAGUCUUUCUGUUUUGGUAUUUCCAUAUCCUCAGACAAUGUCACAAAUGGAUCCGACACUUUUGUUGUUUUAGAGGUUUGUUCUGGAGAUAAAGUUCUUACUAUCCAGACUGACUCUCAAUCUAAUUCUGAUAUGGUCACAACUUCUUCUACCAUGUCAUCUGGAUCUGUAAGUAUAUUUUUUAAUUAAUUUAUGCUUUACAUUUGUUAUUAGUGUGUGCUUUAUGAUAGUGUCUAACAAUUCCUUGAAAUUUAAAUUGAUUUAGGCCAUGAUGUUGGAUCAAAUUUCCUCUGAUGAGUGUCCAACUCCUAUAACAAAGCGCAAGGAUGAUGAUUGUGACCUACAGGACCUAACAUCUUCUUCCAAGAAACAAUGCACCAAGAUAAUCAAAGAAGAGAAGAUCAAGAAUGAUUAGGCUGAAGAUGAAGUUUCUAUCCGAUAUCAAACUCCUUUCGCUUAUUUUGGUUUUUUUUUGUUAUGCUUUGAUUUAUUCCGUAUUUUGAAUUUGAGGCUUUGUUUUUUUUUUAUAUUUUAAUUUUCUUUAUUUAAUAAUAAGCUGGGUUUUUAUGUCAUUUUUAUGCAUUCUUAAAAUUAAUUUAUAAGACAGUAUAUUGAAAUUACUUAUUACUAAUCAAAACAAGAGCCUAACUAACCAAUCAACUCAUAUAGUUCUAAAGUAAAACUAUACUACCAAUCGUAUUUCUAAAGGAUAAUAAGUUUGGUUAGAAGAGUUUACCUGUCUAUAAGAGUAUGAAUGUUCGAACCUGCUCCAUCAUUGUUUGUCAUCGGAUCUGUGAUUCCAGUACAACAUAAACGUUUUUAGAACGAAUAAAUGUCUUGCGAAGUAAUUUUACUAAAAAAAGCCAUAUCAAUCUUACUAAUAUAAAUGUUAUAUAGUGAAUAAAAAUGAAUGUUACAGAUGUUUAAAUAAAAUAAUUCCUGGAUUAAACUUACUUAUUUUAACUAUUAUCCUACAUUUAAGCAAUUUAUAUAUUGUCAAUCAUAAAUUAUGACCAGAAAAAUAGGAGAUUACCUGAAUAUAUGCAAAUCUCAUAGUAAGCUAAUCCAUUCUUCCCAAAAAAUCUUUCUGAAUAAAUGCCGUGGAAGGAACAUUCCUUCAUCCUCAUUUGUUUCCUGGAGAUUUUAGUCUUGAUAUGGACAGAAGGGAUAUUGUUAUACAAAAAAGUUCAGGAAAACUACUGAGAAUAAACGAGAUUCAUGCUUCCUAUCUUGCACUUCAGUAUCCUCUUUUGUUUACAUAUGGUGAAGAUGGAUUCAGACUUGGUAUUAAGAAAGGAGCAACAGAAAAGACCAAAAAACAAAAGAAGCCUAAUAUCAGUAUGAGGCAAUGGUUUGCUUUUCGCCUUCACGAGCGUAAGAAUGAAUCUCAUUCUCUCCUACAUUCUAGAAGGCUAUUUCAGCAGUUUGUGGUGGAUGCCUUCACCACAAUUGAGUCUAAUCGUUUAAGAUAUUUGAAGAUGAACCAGCCGUCUUUGCGAUCAGAUAGCUAUGAUUCUAUUAAAGAGUCUGAGAACGCAGGAAAAGAGGAUAUGAAUGAGCAAGGAACUGAGUUUACAUUACCAGCUUCAUUCGUAGGGAGUCCUAGAUAUAUGAAGAAUUGUUACUUGGAUGCUAUGGCAAUAUGUAAGCAUUUUGGAUUCCCUGAUUUUUUCAUCACUUUCACAUGUAAUCCCAAAUGGCCAGAGAUCACAAGAUAUGUUAAGGCAAGGAAACAAAAGGCUGAAGACAGAUCAGACAUUAUCUGUAGGAUUUUCAAGAUCAAACUUGAUUCUUUGAUGGGUACUCUAACCAAAAAAAAUAUAUUGGGAGAGACACAGUCAUGUAAGUUAAACCUGUCUGAUCUGUAUAUUUAUAAAAAUUCCAUACGUUUGAAUUUAUAUAAAUUGUGACAAACGUUUUUUUUUACAGCUAUGUACACUGUUGAGUUCCAGAAACGGGGUUUGCCACAUGCUCACAUUCUCUUAUUCAUGAAGAAGUUAAAGAAGCCUACAACAGCCGAUAUUGACGACAUUAUUUCUGCAGAGAUUCCUAACAAGAAGGAAGAACCAGAACUGUAUGAGGUCAUUAAAGAUAUGAUGAUUCAUGGUCCAUGUGGAAGAGCUAAUACCAAUUCUCCAUGUAUGGAGAAUGGUCGUUGCUCUAAGUCAUAUCCUAAAUCAUUUUCUGAGAAGACCACUAUUAACAAAGAAGGUUUUCCGGUUUACAAGAGGCGUGAGCAGUCACAGAACUUUGUUAUGAAGAGUGGAGUGAGGUGUGACAAUCGGCAUGUCAUUCCUUACAACCGGAAGUUAUCUCUUCUAUACAGAGCUCAUAUCAACGUCGAGUGGUGCAACCAAGUUGGGUCUAUAAAGUAUUUAUUCAAAUACAUUAAUAAAGCACAGGACCGCGUCACAGUUGCCGUUGAACCACCAGACAACAUUGUUGCAAGUGAGUUAGGAGAUGUUGAGAUUACUAAAGAGAAUCUUGAUAAGAAAAGAAAUGAACUCAAGGAAUUCUUCGAUUGCAGGUAUUAUUACCGUUGUUGUUCUUUACAGUAUACCAAUUCAUUAAUUUAGCCACUGUUUUUUUACCAAUAUGUUUUUUUUUCAGAUACGUGUCAACAUGUGAAGGAACAUGGAGAGUAUUCAAAUUUCCUAUUCACUAUCGAUCAACUGCUGUUGAGAAGCUUAGUUUCCAUCUCCCUGGAAAGCAAGUUAUUACAUUCAGAGGGAAAGACAAAUUGAAAGCAGUUGUCACUCGAAAGCUCAUUGAAAAUACAAUGUUCUUAGCUUGGUUUGAGUUGAACAAGACUGACUCCUUCGCAAGAACAUUGACCUAUGCUCAGAUCCCAAGCUUCUAUACUUACAAUAAAAGGUUAAAGAAGUUCAACAGGAGGAAACGGGGAUUUGCUUUGGGGAGGAUUAACUAUGCUCCUAGGACCCAAGAAGAUGCUUAUUACUUGCGUGUAUUGUUGAAUGUUGUCAGGGGACCCACGAGUUAUGAGGACAUUAAAACAUACCAAGAUGUUCUCUAUCCGAGCUACAAAGAAGCAUGUUAUGCUCGUGGGUUAUUAGAUGAUGAUCAGGAGUACAUUGAUGACAUAGUAAGAAGAAGUUUUGAGAGCACAGCAAGUGAGCUACGGAAAGUGUUUGUUAUGAUGCUUAUGAGUAACACUUUAUCUAAGCCUAAGUCAGUAUGGGAAAACACUUGGAUGUUUUUAUCUGAAGAUAUUGAGCACUCUAGGAGAAGGAAUUUUAAUAGACCAGGUAUGUUUUUAGAUUUUAAACUUGAUUGUUCAAUUUAGCUACAUGAAUUUAUGUUUCAAGACUUAUAAUUUUAGUUUCUUUCUUGACUUUUUCAUAUUCAUUUUAGGUCUGAUGCUGAGUGAUGACGACAAAAAGAAGUAUGCUUUACUUGAGAUUGAAAAAAUCUUGAAACGAUCUGGAACUUCACUUGCAAAAUUUGAUUCUAUGCCUAAACCGCCAAAGAUAAGUAUCCACGAUGAAAAUGUCUUGGUGCUAGACGAACGCAGCUAUGAGCGUUCUGAUUUGUUAGAGACUCUUCGAAGAGAUCUGCUGAAGAUGACUUGCGAGCAAAGAAAGAUAUAUGAGGAGAUUCUUUCUGCUGUUAAUAAAGGAGAUGGUGGAAUGUUUUUUGUUAGUGGUUUUGGUGGAACAGGGAAAACUUUCCUAUGGAAAUUGCUUUCUGCAGCUAUCAGAUCCAGAGGAGAUAUUGUUCUAAACGUGGCUUCGAGCGGCAUUGCAUCACUGUUGUUGCCUGGUGGUCGGACAGCACAUUCCAGAUUCGGGAUUCCUCUAAAUCCAGACGAGUUUUCUUCAUGUACUAUGAAGCAUGGGAGUGACCAAGCUAAUUUAGUGAAAGCCUCAUCACUUAUCAUCUGGGAUGAAGCGCCUAUGAUGAGCAAGCAUUGUUUUGAGGCUUUGGAUAAAAGUUUAUCUGAUAUUGUUGGGAAACACGACACACAACCAUUUGGUGGAAAGGUUAUCGUGUUUGGUGGUGAUUUUAGGCAAGUUUUGCCUGUUAUAAAUGGUGCUGGUAGAGCUGAAAUAGUUAUGGCCUCACUUAACUCAUCCUAUCUUUGGACGCACUGCAAAGUUCUUAAGCUCUCCAAGAAUAUGAGAUUGCUAUCAGCAGGAUUGUCACCAGCAGAGGCAAAGGAUCUUCAAGAAUUUUCAGAGUGGAUAUUAAAAGUUGGUGAUGGUAAACUUUCAGAGCCUAAUGAUGGUGAGGCAGAGAUAGAAAUUCCCUCUGAAUUUUUGAUUACAGAUUGUAAUGAUCCUAUAGAAGCAAUCAGCGAAGAGAUUUAUGGCACAACAACUUCAUUGCAUGAAAAGAAAGAUGCAAAUUUUUUUCAAGAGAGAGCUAUCCUCUGUCCAACUAACGAGGAUGUUAAUACAGUUAAUGAAUAUAUGUUGGACAAGCUAGAAGGUAAAUUGCGCUAUUUCAUCUAUUGAUUUCGCAGAAGUUGUAGUUGACUCUUAUUCUAGGAGUUUUUGUUUUCUAUUUCAGGUGAGGAAAAAAUUUAUAACAGUGCUGAUAGCAUUGAUCCCUCUGAUACAUGUGCUGUGAACAAUGAAGCUCUUAGUGCUGAUUUUCUAAACACAAUUAAGGUUCCUGGUUUACCAAACCAUAGUCUUAGACUGAAGGUUGGUUGUCCUGUUAUGGUUCUGAGAAACAUAGCUCCUACUGAUGGCUUAAUGAAUGGGACGAGACUGCAGAUCACUCAGCUAAUGGAUUUUAUGGUUCAAGCUAGGAUUAUAACAGGAGAGAGGAUUGGGGAGAUAGUUGAUAUUCCUAGAUUGCUAAUAACCCCUUCUAACACCAGAUUGCCUUUCAAAAUGAGGAGAAGGCAACUGCCUCUUGUUGUGGCUUUUGCAAUCACAAUCAACAAAAGUCAAGGGCAAUCACUAUCUAAAGUAGGUCUUUAUCUACCAAGACCUGUCUUUUCACAUGGUCAGUUAUAUGUUGCUGUUUCUAGAGUGACUUCCAAAAAGGGAUUGAAAAUUCUGAUUUUAGACGAAGAUGGCAAACCACAGAAACAAACUAAGAAUGUUGUUUUCAAAGAAGUUUUCGACAACCUUUAAUAGCUGAGGUAACAUAAUUUGUCUAUUUAGAAGUUUUUUUUUAUUUUCAGUAUAUGUUUUGGUGCAUAAUUCUCACAUUUUGUUUAUUCUGAAAGAAAGUACAGACAAAUACUAAAAUGAUUUUCUUAUUUUGAUCGUUGCAGGUGUCGCAUGUUAUAUGUGGUGGAUGAAUGCUUGCUGGUUCACUAAGUUUUAUUUUUGUUAUGCAAACAACAUUUCUUUGUUUUACCAAGUCGCUUCAUAACAAUAAGACUGUUAUAUUUUUCAUUUAGACAAACGCAUGCAUUAUAUUUGGUCGUUUUUAACCAUAUCUAAAUGAAGCUGUUGUUAUCUAAGACAAAUAUCAAUGAGGCAUUUCUUCCUCAAACAUCUUAACUAAAACCAGGGUUCCCUAAUCUAAAAACCAAUAUCUAUACUCUCCUAUUUGUUUCACCUUACGAAAUAGCUAGAGUAGAUCAGUAAUUACUAACCUCAUUAUAACUCUGUUGUCCUGUAAUCAUUGUAGUCUGCUUUUGCAUCUUCAUAACUGGUACUCGGUUCUCUCCAGGAAACUUCAGUGUCCAUUUUCUGGCAAAUACAAAGUUAAUCCUACCAAGAAAGAUUUUGUAAUAGCAGUUUAAGUUAGUAACAUGAACAUACGUUCCUAUCAGCAUUAAAAUGUCUGAUGUUUUUAAUGAACUGUGAGCAUAAAUUUUAUACAUGUUAUUCAUAUUUUCAGUGAAUCAAGAAUACAGAAGAAAGCAAUUUAAUCUAAAUAUGCCAUCACAGAGGAAAGGAAAGACGUUAUUCUAGCCUUGCACUUAUUCUAUACUGUCCUAUUUUAUCCAACUUACGAAAUAGGUACGUUAGAUCAGUUAUCAACAUAUUUUGUAGAACACCGGCGCGUUAUUAUCCAUGACAUUGCUUUCAUCCUAUGAAUUAGUUAUGAUAGAGAAGUAAUUACUAACCAUAUUCUCAGGUGUGUGUUCCUCGGGUUGUUGUCUUCCAUUAUAUUUGGAUUACUGAAACUUGGUUCUCACAACGUCCAAAUCAAACAUGCGUCACAUUUAAAAUGACAUAAUAUCAGCUAUCAAACGAUUGACAGAUGUUAUGUUAUAUAAGAUCGUGAAGGAAAAAAUAACCAGGUUUGAAUCACUCAGACAAGUAAAAACCAAACAUUUAUACUUAAGCCAGCGUUCUUUCAUAAUCACAACAUAUUCAAGAUGGUCCUACAUUGCUUGGUACUUAUGAAUUAGUUGUGAUAGCUAAGAAAUAUUAACCGUAUUCGAAGUCUUUUGUUCGCCAAGGUUGCUGGCUUACUUUGCAUCUGGAUUACUAGAAAUUGCUUCACACAACGUCCAACUCAAACAUGCGUCACAAUUAAAAAGGAUAAUAUCAGAAUUGACACAAUUGUAUAAAAAUAGAUACAGAAAUUUUAAAAACUGUUGAUUUUGACUUUACGACCUUAUGUCUCUAAAGACGAAGGUUAAUUGCCGGCAUACUCAUUGAGACUAGAGAUCUAUCAUUCCAUAAGAGAAACAAUCAAAAAAUUUAGGGAAGAAAACUAUUCAUUGAAUCUUAAUCAAAAUAAUCGAUUAUGAAUCUAACCUUUGAUAAAGUAGAUCGAUUGACUUAACAAAUAGAGUGACCAAAGUUAAUAAACAUCUGUUCAUUGGAACAAAGAUAUAUGAGUUGUUGACGAAGUGAUCAAGUACUGUAACGAAGCAUUCCGUGGACAAAGCAGAGCUUAUAGUGAGUCUUGACAGGUCUUCAUGAUUAAACCGGGACCGUGCUAUAUCUAUCCGACAGAAAGCUCUUCGUAUGACCCCUUCAGUUGAUUUAAAAAACCAUCAUAACACAGAAUCUAGAACAACAAAUCAAGAUAAGCUCGGUCCCGGUUAUCUCUGAUAAAUAAUUUCAACCUAAACCUCCAAAAAUCAUACCUGUUUGCAAAAUCUGUUGUACUUCUCAAUGGAUCUAACCAUCUUUCCUCUUUUGAGAGAGAAAUUCAACCCCCUGAGAUGGAACUUAUCGCCAGAAAGCGGACGGCACCGACAGAGAGAUCUACAAGAACGGAAACCAAGAAGUCGUACAAAGAAAACUGUUUCUGUUUCUUUUCCCGGAAAAAAAAUAAUUUGGGCUUCGAUUAAUAUUUUAAGCCCACUAAUUUGAAGUCAAAAAUAAAUUGCCUAUUUCAAUUCAUCUAAAUGGGCUUUGUAUAUAUAAUUGUGCACCAGAAUACUUUUUGAGAAUGUUUUUUGGGUAUGAUUUUCCAUAAUUUGUAAUUUUUGCUGUAAAUUUUUGUUUAAAAAAAUUUAAAUCAAAUGUAAUUUUUAAAAUAAUUUAUCACACAAAUUUAAUAGUAUAAUUUAAUAAAACACACUCAAUCUAAACAAAAUACUCUAAUAUUUUAGAUUUAAUUGUUUAAUGUAAUAUUUAAGUUUGGACUAAAGAUCUAAAUUGUUUAAUUUACUCUAAGAUCAAAAUUAAUCAAGUUAAUUUUUUAAUUUACAAAGUAAAAGUACAAAAAGUACAAAUGAAAAAGAAUGCAACUAAAAUUUAAAAAUUCGACACUUAGCAAAAUGACCAAGAUACACAAUAUAUCAUAACUCAAUAACCUAUGAAACAUUAACCUACAGUCUACAACUAACAAAAAUAUUAAAUUCUACAAAAUAUAUAUCCGCGCGGGCGCGCGGAUCAAAAGCUAGUAUAAGCUUACAAUAAGCGCUACUAUCAAUAUAUAUAUAACGAAUACAAUAUAUUAUCAAAAGCAUACUCAACGUGAUUUGAUAUGAUUACAUGUGAUUAAGAUCACAUUUUUAAUACUGUUCUCGAUUGAUUUUAAUUACCAAGAUUUGACUAAAUCAUUUCCUUCGAUCCAAUCUGAUAACAUGGAAUUUGAUUGUAAUUAAUGGUUACGCAAUUUUUUAAUGGAUGAGUGUUUCACGAGCUAUAGUUUAGUCGACUAUAUUAUUUGACUAAUCCAAACCGAUUAACGUGCACUGUUACCUUUAUAUCAGGCGUUUUAUAUCAAUCCAAAGUCAACUAUUAGACUUUUGGAGGUUAUCGAUACCUUCGAUUAAAUCCAAGAUCCACACACAAUCUGUAUAGAUUUAAACAGAAGUCCCGACAACUUUGAUUCAUGUGUGAAUUUUUAAAAAAUGAACCUAAUAAACUUAUUUUUAGAAAGUCAUGUUAUAUUUAAUAUCUAAUUUUAUCAUUUCAAUUUUGUACUUACCAAAAAAUUUUAAUGGGCUAUUAAUAAUUGCAUUUAAACAAAAGAUGAUCUAUUGGAUUUAUAAAUAGUAUAAAUUAAAUAGAUAUAAUUUAAUUUUGUAAUACUAUACCUCAAUAUGUUAAAUAUUUAAAUAUUUGUCGAUGUUAACUUUUAAAAUUAUAAAGAUUUUUAUUAAAUAACAAAAAUCAUAUUAUCUAAGAAUGAUUAAUAUUUACUACCUUAAACCAAUGAAAAUAAAUUUUAAACUAUAUAGUUUAUUUUAAAAAUUGAACAAAAACUAAAUGUUUAAUUAUUUACUCGAUAAUAUAAAUCUAUGAAGCGAAAAGUUUAAUUUUUAAAAACUUUCUAAAUUUGUGAAAUGUUACAAUAUCCUUGAAUAUGACAAUAAAACAAUAUUUCACUAAUCUUUAUAUAUAUAGUUACGAUUUUAAUAAUGAAAUAAUAAUCCAAAAAUAUAUAUAUAGAAGAAGAUACAAAUACAUGUGAAAAUUUGAAACAAUCUAUUCAAUGAAAAAAAUAUACCGUAAAUUUAUUAUGUUUUAAAAAUUGAUAGACAUAUAUAUAUAUAUUAUAAUAUAUAAAAAUUUAGAAUUGAAAACAAAAUAUUUAUAUAAAAAUAAAUGAAAACAAAAACCCACGCAAUAUCUAGUAUCUUGCUAAAACACACACACAAUCUGUUUAAAUAUCUUGCUAAAAAUACACACCGUUUAAUCAAGUGUUGGCUAUCAUUUUUUUUUUUUGAAAAGAUGUUAAUUUCUUUGUGGAAAAUAUAGCUUAAUUAGGUGUUUUGUCCGCACAUGCGGGCAUAUUCUUCUGAAUUGUUUUCUUAAUUUUCAUAGUAGAAAAAUAUUAUUUCCAGAUAAUAACACAAAUAUAUAUAUAAGAAUUGUUUUUAAAAAUAUUUUUUAUUUUGACAAUAUAUCUUGAUACAAACUUUUGCUUAAUUGAUAUUAAAUUUGAAAUUUUUUAUAUCUUAAUUUUUUUUUAACUUUUAUAGCAGAAAACAUUAUUUUCAGAUAACAACAAAAAACAAUAUAAUAAUUAUCUUUUUUUUCUAAAAUAUAUUUUAUUUUGACAAAUUUAUAAUAAUUUACAAUUAUUUAGUAUAACAUAUAAAUCUAAUAUUAUUAACAUAAAAUUCGUUUUUAAUUUUUUUUAACUUUUAUAGUAGAAAAUAUUAUUUUCAGAUAACAACACAAUAUAUAUAUAUAUAUAAUUAUUAACAUAAAAUUCCUUUUUUUGACAAAUUUAUAAUAAUUUACAAUUAUCUAAUAUAACAUAUAAAUCUAAUAUUAUUAACAUAAAAAUUGUUUUUAAUUUUUUUUAACUUUUAUAGUAGAAAAUAUUAUUUUCAGAUAACAACUCAAUCUAUAUAUAUAUAUAUAUAUAUAUAAUUAUUAUUUUUUUCAAAAAAACAUGUUUUUAUUUGACAAAUUUAUCAUAAUUUACAAUUAUCUAUAUACCAUAUAAAUCUUAUAUUAUUAACAUAAAAUUUGUUUUUAAUUAUAUAUAAAAAUUCAUUAAGGGUAGUGUAGAUAUUAUAUAGAUCUUAUAUUGUUGACAUAAAAUUUGUUUUUAAUUAUAUAUAAAAAUUCAUUAAGGGUAGUGUAGAUAUUAUAUAGAUCUUAUAUUGUUGACAUAAAAUUUGUUUUUAAUUAUAUAUAAAAAUUUAUUAACGGUAGUAUAGAUAUUACCCGCUCUAACUUUCAAAUAAUAGUAUUAACUAGGUGUUUUGCCUGCACGUGCGGACUUAAUCGUCUUACAAAUAUCUAUUAAUUUAUAUUUUACUAAUUCAAAAAUCAGCAUGAUAACUUAUUAUUUAUGUUUUCAAAAAAGAAAUUAAACAUCAAAUUAUAUAUACAUACGACAAAAAAAUCAUUAAAAUAUAUAUUUUUUUUUGUGUUGAAAUUUUAAAAGAAAACAUUCACAUAUUAGAAAUAUUUUAGAAAAUAUCUUUAUACAAAAUAUUUUAGUUGAUUAGUACAUAAUUAUAAAUUGUUUAUUAUUUAUUUUCUAACAUUUAUAAUUGAAAAAAUAAAUUUUAAGAUAAAAAUACAAUAUAUAAGAAUUAUCUUAUUUAAAAAAAUAUAAUAUUAUUAGUGAAAAUUCGUUUUAAUUAUAUAAUUAAUUUUAUAUAAAAUUCAUUAAGGAUAACAUUGAAUUUAACCACUUAAUUAUUAUAAAUUAUUUAUAAUAAUGUUUUAGUUGAUUAAUAUUUAGUUAUAAAUUUUUUAUAUGUUAUUUUCUAAAUUUUAUAAUUGAAAAAAAGAUAACAACCCAAUAUAUAAGAAUUAUCAUUAAUUAUAUGUAUUAAUUAAUUAUUAUGAUAAUUACUUAUAUAUAAUAUGUUAAUUAAGAUAACAACACAAUAUAUAAUAAUUAUAUUAUUUAAAAAAUUAUAAUAUUAUUAAUGAAAAUUCUUUUUUAAUUAUGUAAUUAACUAUAUAUAUAUAUAAAAUUAAUUAAAAGUAACAUUUACUUUAACAACUUUAUUAUUAUAAAUUAUUUCAUGUCUUAUUUUUAACUUUUAUAAUUGAAAAUAUGUUUUAAGAUAACAACACAAUAAAUAAAAAUUAUCUUAUUUAAAAAAAAAUUAAUAUUGUUAAUAAAAAUUCGUUUUUGAUUAUAUAAUUAAUUAUAUAUUAAAUUUAUUAAGGGUAUCAUUGACCUUUUAAAGUGAGAGCUUGAUUGCGAAAAAAUUACUAAUAAUUAAUUAUUAUGAUAAUUAGUUAUAUAUAAUAUGUUAAUUAAGAUAACAACACAAUAUAUAAGAAUUAUCUUAUUUAACAAAAUUAUAUAUUAUUAAUAAAAAUUUGUUUUUAAUUAUAUAAUUAAUUAUAUAUAAAAGAUUAAUUAAAAGUAACAUUGACUUUAACCACUUAAUUAUUAUAAAUUGUUUCAUAUCUUAUUUUUAACUUUUAUGAUUGAAAAAUAUGUCUUAAGAUAACAACACAAUAUAUAAGAAUUAUCUUAUUUAAAAAAAUUAAUAUUGUUAAUAAAAAUUCGUUUUUGAUUAUAUAAUUAAAUAUAUGUAAAAUUCAUUAAGGGUAUCAUCGACUUUGACUACUCUAACUUUUAACGUGAGAGCUCGAUUGCGAAAAAUUACUUCGCAAAUAAUAGUAUGGAUAACAUAAAAUUUGUUUUUAAUUAUAUAUAAAAAUUCAUUAAGGAUAGUAUAGAUAUUAACCGCUCUAACUUUCAAUGUGAGAGUUCGAAUGCGAAAAUUUACUUCGCAAAUAAUAGUAUAGAUAAAAUAGCGUAAUCUUAAUUGCUUUUAUGUUUUAGAACCAUUUUGCUAUAGUUGAUACUAACCAUAUACACACAAAAGUUCUGUUAAAACGUAUCUUGAUAUGAUCACGUACCAGCUAGCACGGUGUGAUAUAAGUAAUAUGUUCAUAUUUUUUGUGGCUGAAUCAAUUAGAAAGACGCUUUAUUCCAUUGUGAAAGUACGAUAUAUUUGAUGUUUUUCAUUACGGUAAUUGUAUACAUUUUGAGCAAACAAUUGCAUUUGAUAUAUGUUCUCGGAGCUUGUUUCUGUCGGUGGAACAAGUGGUGCAAAACAACUCGAAAGAACGAUUCACCAAGAGCCCACGUAUUAUAGGCGGUCUUUGAGUACGACAUUAUAUUUGAUGGGAUCUAUACAACAAACUUAGUAAUUGCAUUUAUAUCUAUUCUCAUAGUUUUGACUGUCAACAGUUAUUGGCUUGCCGUCGUCUAUUUUUUGCUGGGUGAGUGAGUGGUACGAAACAGCUCCAACGAACGUGCCAUCCAAAAGCCACUUGCUUUAGGCAUCCUUUCGACUUUCACGUUUACAUGACAUUUACAUUAAGUAUCUUAUAUAUUAAAAUAGAAGUUAUGACUUCAAUUCAUGUGUGAUUUUUUUUAAAAAAUGUAUCCUUAUUAAAAAUCAGCUAUCAUUCAUUUAUUACUAAUUAUAUGGCUUAACUUAUAUCGUUGCUAAUAAAAUUACUCCUACAAAACUGGCUUGGUUAACAAACCAACAUUAGAUUUCUUAAUAAAUUAUACAUUAGAUCUAGCGUGGUAUAAUUGAAGCUGAUUGAUAUAUGAUUGGUAAUCGAUUCCACCUAGCUACCAUCAUAUACUUGCAUUUUAACCAUUUCAUAGAUCUUGACCAUCGUAUACUUGCAUUUUACUAGCUGUAUAACCUAGCUGUAUAAACAUAAACCAUUUUAACCAUUUCAUAGACUAAUACAUUUUCUUACUGUUUUAGAGUUUUGGUAUGUUCUACAUGCUGUUCAUGUAAUAAACAAAACCAACUUUUAUCUAUUAAAAUAGAAAUGUUGACUUUUCUCAUGUCUGAUAUUUUUAUUUAGAUCAUCAUUUAAAAACUUUAUUAAAUGUAUUUCCUUAAUACUAAUAUAAUAUAAAAUUUAUAAUUACUUAAAUCAUAAUAUCUUUUGAUAUCUUUUAAAUUAAAAUAAAAAUAUCUAUAUUUAAAAAUUCUAACAAAUCUUUUGAAAAAGAUUAUAACAAGAUCUUAACUAUCAAAAUUUUACAUAAAUAUUUGCAUUAAUUUCGUCGUUAGUAAUGAAAUGUUAUUACAAAUUAAUAUAUAUAUACUGUUAUCUUUUAUGAAAUGAAAAAAAAUAAAAUCAUGUCAUAUUUUAUCUAUUUAUAAUAACAUCAACCAUUUUAAAAGAAAACCAUUAUAUGGAACUAAAUAUGAUAAAAUUAUUUUAAAUUGAUAAGUUAAUAUAUUUUAUUUUCAUAAAUAUAAAAUAUUUUAUGCUAAAAUAUAAUAUGUUGGUAGAACAGUUUAACAUCUGUAAAAUAUAUAAUACAUGUAUAAAAUUAACUUAUCUUAAAAUUGUAUAUAUACAGUAAUUAAUUAUCUAAAAUGAAUAAACAUAUAAAAUUGCUUUCUUUGAAUUAUGGAUCAAGAUCAUAAUAAAUUAAUUACAAAAUAAUUUUUUGAACAUGUUUUUUUGUGCAUAAAAAAUUGGUUUUAUAAUCAAACACAAAAUCAAUAUGAUAAAUAUAUAAUAAAAAGCAAUAUAUAUGUGAUGAUUUGAAAUAAUUAAUUUACAACAAAUUAUUUUUAAAAUUAUUGUAUUUGAAAAAAAUGUAUAUAUAUUCAAAUAUAUAAAUAACCUUAAAAUAUAUACUAAUUAUAUAAACUUAUAUAUAUAUAUAUAAACUUGAAAAUAAAUACCGUGCGGAUCCUGAUCUAGUUUAUAUUAAGGGAAAUUGCUCUAGGUACUAAUUUUUAGACAUUUGAUCGGUGUUCUAGGUUCACGACAAUUUAGAUAUUAAUGAUCGUGUAUUUUUUUAAUAUCUCAAAUCUAAAUCUAUAAGUUUUAGAUUUUGUCAUUUUCUUAUCUUCGCUUAUAUUGUGCUCAUGCUAUGUUUUGUAAGUUUUAUUUGAUAUAUAUGGCCCUGCCAAUACCACGUUUUCAGUUCCUUGUAGCAAAUCUUUCAAGCUGGAUAAGGUGUGUUGGCAACAUACGAAUCGCACAACCGUACCUAUAUGGUGGUAAAUGCUACUUGUACAUAUUUACAACAAAUGGACCCUUUUGUAGUCCCAGGCAUUAAAUACGUUUAUCCAAAACGUAUGCAACGAGAUUGAUAAAUACGUUUUUGUAUGCACUUCCACUAAAUUAUUUUUAACUUGUAAGUUCAAAUUUUUGGUUACUGAAUUUUUUUUUUUUGAAUGAAGUGUGAUUUUGAGACGAAAACAACAAAUUAAAUUUAUAAAACGGUAACUUACAAAGUUGGAACAAACAAAUAUGAUAUUGAAGUCAACAUAAGUUGACUUCUAAAUAUUUAGACUUAGUCUACCCUACGAUAAACAUACGAUCUGGAAAUGAACACGAACGCAAAGAAAGCAAUGGCGGUGCAUGCGGCUAGCAACCAGUAAAAAUAAUCAAUAUGAGCUCGGUUUAAGUUAUUGUUAAACCAGCUGUGUCCACCAUCACUUUCUGUGGCCCAAUCAAUAACAAUGAUGAGAAGACCACUCAAGAAGUUCGAAAGACCCAACGCACUCAAAGAAAAAGCAAGACCGAUACUUCUCAGCUCUGUGGGGACCUGGUCGUAGAAGAACUCUUGGGCACCUACCAGACCAAACACUUCGAUCAUCCCUACCAACAUAUACUGAGGAACGAACCACCAUAUAGACAUUGGAAUGGUCACGUCCGGUUUGUCAAUGAGCCCGUGUUCCUCAGCGAUUUGCAACCGUUUGGCUUCCACCAAUGCUGCGAGCACCAUGUUGAAGCACGUAAGAACCAUUCCGGUUCCUAUUCUCUGGAGCAUUGUGAUCCCAUUAGGCUUUUUGGUAAUAUUUCUAGCUAUAGGCAGGAACACAUGCUCGUAGAUCGGAACUGAGAUGAGAACUGAUAUAGACACGAGUGACAAAAAAGAAGCUGGAGGGAUAACAAAGCCCGGUAAGAUUCGUCUGUCCACGGUGACACCUUGCUUGGUGAAGAGAGUAGAGUAUUGGGCGUAAGGAACCAUGCUCAGCAUCGAUGUGAUCCAUAUCGGAAUAAGCAUUAUCAAACCCUUAGCGUCUUCCACGUCCAUAUUACUACAUGGCUCCACACCUUCUUCUCCUAAGAGCAUCGCUUUUGCAAGAAAUCUUGUCACACACAAAAAUCGUCAAAACAAGUCGAGCACACUAGUUUCAAAAAAAAGUCAAGCACUAAACCAAAACACAAAUGAUCAUACAGUCCAACGAAAUAUUGGCUUUGAACCUAAAUUUUUUUGGAGAUUGUUUUCAAAAUAUUCUUAUUAAAUGUUUUCAAAAAAAAAAUUAAUAGAAGCCCAAAUUGUUUUCAAUUUUUUUUUUACCAAAAUCCUUAUUAAAUUUAUUUGGUAAGAGGAUUAUUAAAUAUUUAUUGUACCCAAAAUUUUAGAACCGACUCGGCAAAUGAUAUAUAAGAAAACUUGGGAUCUAUGCAACUUACUCGAGCUGACCAGAAUGUUUUAAACUAAUCAGUUUCCGAUUCUUGAAGGCCACGAUGAAAACUCUACCGAUCCUUACAAAACCGUUGUUGUUCUUCUCGUGGCUUCUCUUUGGAUACCUAUAAGUUUUUCUCCCGAGAAAGAAGAUAGCAAGAGCCAUAACCAUGAACAAACAAGGGAUCCCAAAUCCAAACGCCCAGUUAACGUUGCUUUGAAUAUACACCAUCACAAGAAUCGAUACGGCUAUUCCCCCGGAUAGAAACAAGAACCACCAGUUGAAAAACGAUCCUCUAGCUAUUCUCUCUUUAGGAUGGUCCGAGUCAAACUGGUCCGCACCAAACGCCUGAACACACGGCUUGUGACCUCCUUGUGCUAUGGCCACAAGAUACAGAGAGCAGAAGAAAAGUACGUUCAUCAAGAUAGAAGGUUUACGUUCUUCAGAUGAUCCCAUAAGGGUUAGGGAAGCCGACAAGGUCAGUAGUCCAAGCCCCUGUAAAUUUCAUCCGGUUUAACUACUUUAAUUUUUUUUUGUGAUUUGUUAACGAAUGAAUGAAUGGAAUCUCACAUUGGUAGUUAGAAAAUAGUGAACAAAAAAUUAGGACCAAUCCAAUUAUUAUCAAUUAGUUUUAAGUUGAAGCUCGUGAACUCGAAAUUGACAAUACUAGUGGAAAAAGAAGAAGACAAAGGUACCAACCAGUAUGUAGAUGAGGGAAGAUCCAAGAAUUGUCCGGUAACGACCGAGAUAAGCGUCUGCUACGAAAGCUCCUAUUAUAGGAAGCGUCGAGGCUGUUCCACUCCACGUGUUCACAUUCACGGCGGCAUUCGCCGUCGACAGACCGAGCUGUUCGGUCAGAUAAGUGAUCAUAUUGCAUGCAAUCCCAACGUAAGCAAAUCUCUCUGCAACUUCCACACCUGAUGAAACAUACACAAAGAUUUAGCAACAAGAAACAGAACAUUAGUUAAUCACAAAUUACUCUGUUCACCUAUUAUGAGACAGGCCGAUCUCCAUCCUCCGGUGGAAGAUCUCACGGCGGGGUUUCCACGGUGGUCGACGGAGUCGUUAACUAAAUCUUCAAGAAGUCCAACUUCUUCCUCUGGUAUCGACAUGUCUCGCUAAACUGCGAUUAGGAACUAUUUUAAAACUUAGAACUGAACUAUGUUAAAACUUUUUUCUCUUUUAGAUGAGAACGUGACGAGGUAUAUAGCCGUCAGAUAACUAUAAAUAGAUAGAGAGUACAUACAUCAUUGUUACCAUUAAUUAGUAGCAUGACAUUGAUAAGUUUAGACUUAUCUUCUUCUCCACACAAUCUAUAAACUCCAAUAUAACAAAAGUGUCUUCUCCCAAUAACAAACUCGAAUCCAACUCUCGAAAUACAAGUGUUUACUGAGAAAGCUACGAUCUCAUAGCGAUCGUAGGGAAGGUCUCACCUCGAUUCUUCACAACAAACUCAGCAUAAAAGAAAAAUAUGAUCGCAACAACAAUCCUUUAUUUAAACUGAAAAGCAACACUUCAGCAAAGCCUGUGUCUCACUCCGCGGCUUUGCUUCCCCUCCGUUUCUACAAACCUUCUCCUUCUCCCCGACUCUCUGAACUUUGUAUUUCUUCCUUCUCUCCCACGUCAACCUUCUCUCCAUUUCCCUCCCAUUUCUUCUUCUCAUGAUUCUUCUUCCUGAAGUACACUCUUUGGAACAUAUCAAUACCCCACCCAACGAGACGAAACUUGUCCUCAAGCGGAAAUAACGGAAACUGCCUAGCAAACUCCCAACCCAACACCCACGACGCCUCAUGAGCCGGUAAGCUUUCCCACUGCACCAGUAACUCCAAGUACCCGUCUGGUGUGUAACGAGUCUCCAAUAGCUGAGCCGGAACCAACACGAACUCUCCUUGAUCAGAAAAAGUAGUAGGAUUUUGUAAAAAGAAAAUUUCUAAAAUAAUUACUAUUAAAUAUUAAAAAAAUAUUUACUAUUAAAUAAUUUUUAAAAGUAGUUUUUAUCAAAAUUCGUUUUUAUUAUCUUAUUAUAUAUAUGUUUAAUCAUUAUAUAUUUAACGUCACAAUAUUAUAAAGAAAAUUAUUAUCAAAUAGUUUUUUGCAAUUAUCUUUUGAUUAAGAUUUUAAAAAAGAAAAAUUACUAUUCAAUAAUAUUUUAAUUGCUUUUUAAUAAAAUUUGUUUUUGUUAAUAUCUUAGUAUAUAUAUUUUUAAUUAUGAGAUAGAUUAACACAUGUCACAAUCAUAAAAUAUAUAAUUUUCAUGUGUCGCGAUCAUGUUAAUUAGCAACUUUGAAGAACCAAAAUUUAUAUAAUAAGACUAGGUGAUAAAUGAGAUUAUUUUCGUUAUUUAUAAAAUAAGAAGACAUUAGAUCUAUUUAAUGUGGACAUCUAUUUGGUUUUAGGUUGGAUAUUUUGGACUUUUCAUUGGUCACAACUUAUGUGUAGAGGUUUAGGAUAUAUGAGUCAUUAUCAACUUAUCGCAGUCAUUAUAGAAGAAUGCUUAGGUUUUGCAUUUGGGUUUUGAGUAAGAAAGAUGGAAGACAUGUGUCUUAUAUAGGUUUAAAAAACCUAAUGCAAGUUAUGAUGAUCGCCUUAAAAGCAAUUUAAUGUCAUAUAUUUGUGUCUUGCUCAGCACAAUCGAUGUAUAUAUUGCCAUAAACCAAAGUUUUGAAAUAUAUGCAAAUCCCCUAUCAUCAAUCAACCUUGCCAAUCACUCAAGGUAGCAAAAUCAAUUUCAAAAACAGAGCUGAGCGUUUCCUUCGGUAUAAUAACAAACUGAUUUUGAAUUUUGGUUUAAAAGUGUUAACCAUAAUAAUAGGGAAAGCUCUGAUUUUGAAAACGAUUUUUAUUGUACCGAAUGAAAGCGUUAAACCAUAACAGAGCUUAGCGUUAAAACCAUAACCAUAAUAAUAGGGAAAGCUCGAGAAUAUAGUGUUUCUUUAUUAUACCGAAAAAACUUGUCAUCAUUAAUAUAUAUAUAUAUAUAUAUUGGUCAUUGAUAACAUAGCUUCAAAGCUUUUAUAUACACCAAAACCUCAAAAACAACUGUCCUUGAACAAACUCAAUAUUGUUUUCAUAUAUUCUAUGAUCUAUCUGUUAUAUUCUUUGUGGGAUUAUUCAGCUUUCAGCUAUGCUAUCUAACAUAGGUCUCUAACGUGUAUAUAUUACAUUGAAGAUUAUUAUCAUCAGAAAGCAAAGUUUGUUUCCCAAGAGUCUGGUACACCAUUUCAUGGAACGACCUUCCUUGGAGCAGCUUCUCUAACUCUUGCUUGCUCAAAACGAUUUUCAUUCUCAUAAUGCUCACAUUCUUAUUGUCAUCACCAUCAGUGUUUCUAGUUCUUUCACCAGUAUAAUCGGAUAUACCUUCUCUUAGUAAUUUUGCGUCUUAUUCCACCUCAGGAUCCGAAAACGUUACUUUCUUGGUUUUUACAUUGAAGAUUAUCAUCAUCAGAAAGCAAAGUUUGUUUCUCAAGAGUCUGGUAGACCAUUUCAUGGAAUGACCAUCCUUGGAGCAGCUUCUCUAACUCUUGCUUACUCACAACGAUCUUCAUUCUCAUAACACUCACGUUCUUAUUGUCAUCAUCAUCAGUGUUGAUGGUUCUUUCACCAGUGUGAUCGGCUACAUACACCUUCUCUUAGCUAGUAAUCUUGCGUCUUCUUUUACCUCAGGAUCCGCAAACGUUACUUUCUUGGUCUUUUUCUUUUUCGUUGUUGUAGGGACAAGAUACUAGAGAUGACCAGAGAGAAGCUUAACAUCGGGAAGAAGAUGACAAGCACUGUUGUUGUCAAAGAGAGUGUGGCCAGAGAACUGCGUAAGGAUGUGAUGCAUCGUGAACACCUUUUCAUAAUCCUCCACUUCGAUAUAACUUUCCAAAAUUUUGAAAGCUCAAAAACUUACGUGAAACAUAAGAGUAUCGAUGUAAAAUGUUUGUUAUAGCUUUUAAUUAAAAUAAGAAACAAAAUUGUAAGGUGCUCUAUUAAAGCGACGCAUCAGCAUAAGUUAUUAUAAAUGAAUGUGAGAGCGCAAUGUGGCGAAUGCAGUGUGAAUACAUUAAAUCCAAUACAUGACUUUUAAUAUAUAAGGGAUAUUGAUUAGUCAUAUGUGUUAUUUGAUUAAUCCAGAAUGAGUAACGUGCAGUGUUUAUGUUAUAAAUCAGCUAUUUUUGUUCAUUAUUCAGAAAUUCAAGACCAGUCGUGGACCCCUAGAAGAAUGGAAGUGUAAAGCAAGCACAUAUCUCAUGUUUUUUGUUUGAUUAUCUGAGUUUAAAUAUUCAAAUUUAAAUCUAUGUACUGUCUAUAAUAUUUUCAUAAAUAACCUUUAACAAAACACACAUAUCGAAGCUUUCUUUCACAAAUUAAAUUAUAAAAUGGUAACUUACAAAGUUGGAACACAAAAACAUGUCAUAUUAAAAUCAACAUAAUUAAGUUGUCUUUUGAAUACUUAUUAGACUUGGUCUACCCGACGAUAAACAUACGACCUUGAAAUGAACACGAACACAAAGAAAGCGAUGGCCGUGGAUGCAGCUAGCAACCAGUAAAAAUAAUCAAUAUGAGCUCGGUUUAAGUUAUUGUUAAACCAGCUGUGUCCACCAUCUCUUUCUGUAGCCCAAUCAACAACAAUGAUGAGAAGACCACUCAAGAAGUUCGAAAGACCCAACGCACUCAAAGAGAAAGCAAGACCAAUACUUCUCAGCUCUGUGGGGACCUGGUCGUAGAAGAACUCUUGUGCACCUACCAGGCCAAACACUUCGAUCAUACCGACCAACAUAUACUGAGGGACGAACCACCAUAUGGACAUUGGAAUGGUAACGUUCGGUUUGUCAAUGAGCCCGUGGUCCUCAGCGAUUCGCAACCGCUUGGCUUCCACCAGUGCUGCGAGCACCAUGUUGACGCACGUUAGCAUCAUUCCGGUUCCUAUUCUUUGGAGCAUUGUGAUCCCAUUAGGCUUCUUGGUUAUCUUUCUGGCUAUAGGCAGGAACACAUGCUCGUAGAUCGGAACUGAGAUGAGAACUGAUAUAGACACGAAUGAUAAUAAAGUAGCCGGAGGGAUCUCCAAGCCCGGCAAGAUUCUUCUGUCCACGGUAACACCUUGCUUGGUGAAGAGAGUAGAGUAUUGAGCGUAAGGAAUCAUGCUCACCAUCGAUGUGAUCCAUAUUGGAAUAAGCCUUACCAAACCCUUCGCGUCCUCCACGUCCAUAUUACUACAUGGCUCUACACCUUCUUCUCCUAAGAGCAUCGCUUUAUUUAAAUUCAUCAGUUUUCGAUUCUUGAUGGCCCCAAAGAAAACUCUACCGAUCCUUACAAAACCGUUGUUGUUCUUCUCGUGGGUUCUCUUUGGAUAUCUAUAAGUUUUUCUCCCAAGAAAGAAGAUAGCAAGAGCCAUAACCAUGAAUAGACAUGGAAUCCCAAAACCAAAAGCCCAGUUAACGUUGCUUUGAAUAUACACCAUCACAAGAAUUGAUAUGGCUAUUCCGCCGGAUAAGAACAAGAACCACCAGUUGAAAAACGAUCCUCUGGCUAAUCUCUCUUUAGGAUGGUCCGAGUCAAACUGAUCCGCACCAAACGCCUGAACACACGGCUUGUGACCUCCUUGUGCGAUGGCCACAAAAUAAAGAGAGCAGAAGAAAAGUACGUUCAUCAAGAAAGAAGGUUUACGAUUCUCAGACGAUCCCAUAAGAGUUAGGGAAGCCGACAAGGUCAGUAGUCCAAGCCCCUAUAAUAAUUUCUUCCGGUUUAAUUACUUAAUUUUUUUUUUUGUAAGUUGUUUAUGAAUGAAUGAAAUCUCAGUUAAAAAAUAAUGAACUAAUAUAUAAAAGAUUGGAUAAUCAAAUUAUUAUCUGAUUUUAAAUUAGAAGCUCACGAAUGAUAAACUCGAAUUUAAAGUAUUAGUGGAGAAAGAAGAAGACAAGGUACCAACCAGUAUGUAGAUGAGGGAAGAUCCAAGAAUUGUCCGGUAGCGACCGAGAUAAGCAUCUGCUAAGAAAGCUCCAAUAAUAGGAAGCGUGGAGGCGGUUCCGAUCCACGUGUUCACGUUCACGGCGGCGUUUGCCGUCGAUUGCCCGAGCUGUUCGGUUAGGUAAGUGAUCAUGUUGCAUGCAAUCCCAACGUAAGCAAAUCUCUCUGCAACUUCCACACCUGAUGAAACAUACAUGAUCAAGAUUUAAUUAGCAACAAGAAACAAACACUAAGUUAAUCACAGUUUACUCUUUUCACCUAUUAUGAGACUGGCGGAUCUCCAUCCUCCGGUGGAAGAUCUCACGGCGAGGUUACCACGGUGGUCGACGGAGUCGUUAACUAAAUCUUCAAGAAGUCCAACUUCUUCCUCUGGUAUCGACAUUUCUCGCUAAACUGAAAUUAGGAACUAUGUUAAACUUAAAACUGAAUUUAGGUUUUAAAUAAAUAUGAUAAUUUAGAUGAGAACGUGAUGAGGCGUAGCAGUCAGAUAACUAUAAUAAAUAUAUAGAGAGUGCAUACACCAUUGUUACCAUUAAUUAGUAGUAUGACAUAUUGUCCCUUUGUUAAAAAUUACCAUAAUUUCUUUUAUGGACCAGUUUUCCACGAGCUGUACUUUGGUCGUCUAUAUUAUUUGGUUAAUCCAAACCGAGUAACAUGCCCUAUUAUGUGGGAAAAUGAGCAUUUAAUUUCCGAAGUAUUUGAAAUCGGCAGUUUUAAUACUCAAGUAUUGCUUGCGCAUAUUUAUUCCGCAACUAAUAGUUGACUGCGCAAAAUUGAGAACAAAAUAGUCAACUGUUAACUAAUGAACGGAAAAAUAACGGUUUCCGUCAACUUUUUAACGGUGGAAUAUUUUAAUCAUGAUUUUGCGCAGUCAAUGAUUAGUUGGAGAACAAAUAUGCGCAUAUAAUACUUGAGUAUUUAAUUUGCCGAUUAAAAAUACUUAAGGAAUUAAAAACAACACUCUUUUUUUUUAGAAAAUCAUAAUUUGAAAUAUUCUCAAGUUAGAUAUAACCAAUAUACAAAAGUUUUAUCUAUUAGACAAUUAUAUGUUGUACAUUGGAUCUCUACUUUAGAUGAUCAUAUAUAAUUAUAUGUACUUUACACAUUCAUAUAUUGUAUAUCAGCAAUACAAUGCAAAUGUAAUUAUCUUAUGUUAUUUUUUAUGCUUUUAUAAACUAAAUAAAUCUUUUUCCGGGAUUAAAUAUCUUGUAUAUUAUUUCAAAUUAUGAACCUUUCUAGCUAUGAAUUAUUUUAAAAAUCAUCUAAAGUGAUUUAAACAUGAAGUACAUCAACAAUACGAUGUAACUAUAAUUAUUUUGUAUUAUUUUAUAUGUCAUUGUAAAAAAUCAACAAUCUAUUUCUAAAGGUAAAUAUCUCGUAUAAUGAUUUUAUUUAACUUGAAAAUAUUUUUACUUAUGUGUUUUUUUUAAAGGGAUUGAUGUUAGUGACUUUCAAUCUUAUACGAAAUAUAAAGAAAAAAAUGAGUUUUUAAUUCCUCAAGUAUUUUCAAUCGGAAAAUUAAAUAUUCAAGUAUUAUAUGCGCAUAUUUAUUCCCCAAUUAAUUAUUGACUGCGCAAAAUCAUGAUUAGAAUAUUCUACCGUUAAAAAGUUGACGGAAACCGUUAUUUUCCGUUCAUUAGUUAACAGUUGACUAUUUUGUUCCCAAUUAUGCGCAGUCAACUAUUAGUUGAGGAAUAAAUAUGCGCAAGGAGGGAUGACGGAAAGUCUAAUCCAUGGUCAUUUCGAAAUAUACGACCAGAGGGAUGACCGGAAAGUUGAACAUCGGUGAACUGGAUGAACCAGAAACUUUUCACCGCUUAUGUGUACACGUGUUGUACUACACGUGCAAUUUUUGUAUAAUAGUUAUCUUUAAGUUUUGUGAUAGGCUUUUAAUGUUUGUAUAGGUCUUUCGGAUCCUCUUAUACUAGUUAAGCUUUUACAAAAAUUAUUGACAAAAAAUAUUAUUAUCAUUGUGAGAAAGUCUAGUAGAUUUCUCACAACAUAUAAUAAUAUUUAAAAAUAUUGUUCAUUUAAAAAUUAAAGUAUAGAAUAUUUUUUUCAAAACACGUUAGAAUAUUUCAAACAAUAGAUUAUUUCCUUCUUUUUUGCUUUUUUGUAUUUCUUCUGUUGUUUUUUUCAUGAGAUUACUUGAGAUAUUUUCAAUAUUAAUGCUCUUAGUAAUAGCAAAUUUAGUUUUAGUGUCGUAGUUUUUUCCAUGUAGGAGCUUCUUGCAAACCUACGCAGAUAGAACAUCCGAGUAGUAGCAUAAAACGAAAAAGAAUUCUCAUUCGUAAUAUGAAGAAUGAAUUUUCAAAAAAUUGGUACAUAAAAAUAAAGUAUAAAUAUACAUAGCGGUUUGUUGACAAAAAAAAAAACAUAGCGGUUUCAAAAUUCAUGAUACCCAUGCAAUAUGGAUAGGGUGCUCAACAGAAUGAUUGUACCACUUUGCCAAGAGUGAUUACCACCUGAUUUUUUUUUUUUUAACACAAAACUUAUAUUAAUGCAUAAAAAGUGUUAGGUGCCAGCCAUGAAAGCUUCUACCUCACCCAAACAUUGUUUAGCACGCUUUGUUUAUUCCCCUUGAAAUCUAACGACCUAGAGAAACUAACAAUAUCCGCGAUACAUUACAAGAAAUAUGAGUAUUGGUAGCACAUUAUAGUAGCACGAAUUCACGUACUGUUAUUAAAAAUGACUAUUUUGGAUGUCUAACUCUAUUGUAGCAUUAAAUCAACGUUACCUAGUCGGAUUUUAGGAAGUGGAAAGCCAAAAAUCCAAUUUUUAUACUUGUAACAUUCAUGAGUGCCAAAUACUUAGUGAAAAAUCACAUUUGCCACCAAAAUAUUUGGUUUUAGUAGAACUAUUUUUUUUCUAAGUCUUUUCAUUUUUUUCUUGUUCAGAAAAAAAAAACAUCAAUUCACUAUUUUAUCUUCUUCUCCAUUAUCCACUUCAAUCGAGCUUCUUCAUCCUCCAUCUUCUUCUAUUAUGGGUCAUCUUUCUCUAAGUUUCCCUUAAAUCGAUUGACUGAAAUCGAAGUAGCAAAACUAAAUCUAGAGAUUGAAGAGUAUUAGCGGAGGAGGAGACGAAGCCACGACGGAGAUGCUGCCGGAGUUUUAGUGACGGUAACAUCGGCUGCCUUUCUGCAAGCCUGGUAACGUCUCUUGUAUGUUUAUAAGCUAAAGCUUGUACCUUUGAAGCUCUGCUUAGACUUGGUCUCACCUUUUCUUUUAGUUACUCUGUUUCUUUUGAGAAGAAGCGGACAUUUCUGGUGCUUCUGAGUCCUGAUUCUUUGUGAUUUCAAGGGUUUGUGAUUCAUGAUCUUUGUUUCCAGAGCAACCCGAGUUUGAAGAAGGUUUUGACGAUGAGAUUAAGGAAAUCGUUGAGAAGUUUAACUUCAGGGAACCUGUUGCCUCUGAGGUAAGACUCUUUUCUUUUGGCUCUUGUCUCUUGAGCUUGAUUGAGAGAGUCAAGCUAAAAAAAAUCCUUCUGCUGUGACUGGACUGAAUUGAAACUACAGUUUGAUGGCUUGUGGUGAGAUCUUAUUUGUCUUUAUCUGAUCUGAUCGUAGCUCUUAUUACUGAGUUUAAGUUUCAUAUCUGUUGCGGAUGACUGGACCAAGGCUGCUAUGUAUUGAUUCGAUAGGAAUGGUGUAGAGCCUGAUGAUUGACGAGGCAUCAAGGGUUGCGAGUUCUAGAGUACCAGAAAACGGAAUCCUUGCUCCGGAGCAUCUUCACUGCCGCGUCGGGUUGAGAUUGUGAAGGCUGCGACUGUGGAUUCAAAUUCUCAUCAUCAUCCUCUCGGUUUGUCCUGACUUCAAGUGUACUUAAAAAGAAGAACACGUUGGGUAUUGUAUGAUCACUUUCUUGUAUUGGCAGUGCGUUAGUCUCAAAGCAACUUUCCAUUAGAGGAAGACCGCAAUGACUUGCAUUCACUUCAAAGGAUGAUUUAGGUUUCUUUGAUUUUGAUUUUGAUAUGUUAAAGCUUGUUGAGGCAUUGGUUCUUAGAUGAAGUUCCUAGACUUAGCAAUCAUAGGAAUUGUUUUGGUUUAUGUGUAUUUUGGAUGAUAUAUAAAAUAAUGUAUGUUUUGAAAAUUUAAUGAAAUAUAAAUUUUUAUAUAUAGAUCAAAUUGCAAUGUUUUUAUUUACAUUUAGCACUACAAUUUAUGUGUCAAUUAACAUUUUGGCAGUAAUAAAUUAGAAAAAAAAAACAAAAAAUAAUAAAUUUUUAUUUCAAAUUCUAGACCCUAAACAUGCCAUAAACUCCAAUAUACAACACUUGUGAUAAAUUUCAAUAUGAACAUUUGUAGAAAUUAAUAACUAGAACAAUAAUGUAUAGAUGACAAAAAAAGUUUUGUAUUUUGUAGUUUUUUCAAACUUAUAAUUUAAAUUUUAAACUUAAACUCCAUUUAUAUCCUAAAACUCAAAUCAUAUAAUUAAUUCUAUACAUUUUCCUAAAUUUCUAUACAAUUUCUUAAAUUUCAAAUCUUUUCUCCAAACUCUAACCCCAAAUUUCAAACUUUAAACCAUAUAUUUCAAACAUCAAACCCCCAAAAAUACUCCAAACCUCAAACCCUGAACUUAAACCUUACAUAUACAUACUUCAAACCAUAUAUCCAUAUUUAAAAUAUAUACUUAAUAAUUUUAAUACCCUAAAUUAAAUCUUGCAUACAAAGUCAUAAAUCUAAUAUAUUCAACUUACAAUAUAAAUUUUAAACUUAAAUAACAAAUAUAUUCUAAAACUCAAACCAUAUACUUAACCUUAAACCCUAAACCACAUACCUCAUAUUAACCUAUAUCAUAAAACAUUCAAUUUUGAUUUUUUAAUAUUUUAUUCAAUCACACAAUUUCAAAAUUUAAAUACAAAAUUCAGAUUUAAAAUUUGAAAUUAUGAUAUCAAAUUAUCUAAAGUUUUUUUCGUCAAAUUAUUUAAAGUUUCUAUAGUUAAUUAUAAUAACUAUAAAUAAAUAAAAAGCAAAUUCAAUUGUUUUUUGACCCAUUGAUUUAUUUGGAUCAAAGGCCCAAAAUCAAUCUCCUUAUCUAUCCUCGUCCUUAUUUUCUAUUGGUCGAGACAAUAAUAAUGAGGAUCUCAAUUAUAGACCAUUGAUCACAAUUUAAUCAAUGGUCCAGAUUAUUUUGUGUUUUUUUUUUCUGAUUGGCCACACAAUUCAACCCUCUCUCUUCCACAGGUCUAACGCCUCUCUUCUCUGUCUCUCUGUUUCCUCUCUCUCUGAUUCUGGUUUUGUUUUUGGGUUCUUAGUUAAAGAAGGUGGAGGAGGCUGAAGAAGCUUGAUGGUGGCGGUCUCGAUGUCGACAAUGGUGGUCUCUUUUAACACAACUCUUCACCAAUCUUCUCUGAGUCCGUGGUAAUCUUAGAUUCUCUGAAAUCUUACAUGCUUAUGUCUCUAAUUCUACACACACACAUACACACUUGCAUCUGAUUGUUUAUAUGUUAUUUUUUUUUGUAGCUGUAGCAUCAAGAUUUACUCUGGCUUGAAGCCUCAUUCUGCAAGUUCGUUCCUUUUUCUUCUUCUUAAUCUAAUUGAAAGUUUUUGUCUUUAAAUCGAAUAGGGUUAGUACGAAUGAGAGUGAACUGAUUUAUUUAGUGUUUCUUAUAUUCCUUCACACUUAACAUGUUUGGGUUUUUGCAGGAACAAGAUGUGGUGUGGAGAUGACAGAUAAGGUAGCGGUGGUGGUAGAGAUGGAGCCGAGCAAGAAGAAAAAGAGAAAGGUGGUCAUGAGCAGUCAUGACAGAUGAGAAAGCUUGAUGGUGGUGGAAUAGGAGAGCCAAUGGCGAGGUUUGACGGUGGCUAUUCAAAGCCGAUGAGGCAGAAGAAGAAGAAAUUGACGGCGACGAGUUUACUUUAGAUGCAGGGUUAAUUUUUUUUUAGGUUAAGUUGUUUCAUGUUUAGAUUAUCAAACCGGGUCUGGUUUACUUAGUUUUUUUAAAUUUCGGUUUAGUUUUGUUCAACAGAUUUUGUUUGUAUAUUGAUUUUUAUUAAUAAAUCAAUUUGAAUUAUAAAUUAAUUUUCGAUUUAAUUUUCUAAUUAUUUAAUUUUCAAUUUUAUUAAUAAAUCAAUUUGAAUUAUAAAUUAAUUUUCGAUUUAAUUUUCUAAUUAUUUAAUUUUCAAUUAAUUAAUUAAUCAUAAUUACCUUAUUUAAUUAAUUAAUUUUGGUUAUUUUUAUAUAGUUAUAGCAUUAUAUAUAUGUUAUUAUAAAUUAUUUUAUAGCACAGAUCGAAUGCUAUAAAACAUGAAACUAUAACUCAAGAAUAACGCUAUAAUAUGUCUAUUUAUUAUAGAAUACGAAAAUACGCUACGAUAACUGGAGAUUCUAUUAUAACUUCGGCUGUUACGGCGUUCAACGAAACGCUACGAAAACGAUACGGUAGCACAUUCUCGAUGCUACUAAUGCCGAUAUUUCUUGUAGUGAUAAUUCCAUAGAGUUCUGAGUGUGUCUCUCCUGAAUUAAAAGCUUUGAUUAACAAGGCCGAGUCAGAUUCACACCGGAGUCUUCGGAUCCCCAUGUCUAUGCAUCUCGCGAGAGCCUCCCGAAGAGCUAGUCCUUAUGCAGUCAAGACAGAACCGACAAACCUAGCCGGUUUAGUGAAUUCAGCGGUUCUCUCCUGUGUUUUCACCGUCCAUCCGGUUUAGUAAAUUCAGUGAUUACCACCUGAUUAUCACCACGGAUGUCAAAAUGAGCUAGCUCGCUCAAUUCAGCUCAACUCAUGGUGAGUUCAGGUCUUUCAUGAGCUAGCUCAGUUUAGCUCAUUUAUUAUAUGAGCUUCAAUAUACAAACUCGAACUCAGAUCAUCUAGAUCAUGAGUUAAAUGAGCUAACUCGCGAUCAUACAUAAAAAAAUAAAAAUUAUAAAAAUAAUAAAAAAAAUAAAAAAAUAGAACAUGUUUUUAUAAUAUAAUUUUAAAUUUAAAACUCCAAAGCGUUAAUAUUUAAAUACUGAAUAAAACCAAGACCUAAUAAUAUAUUAAAUCAGUGAUCCAAAAAUAUAUUUUACAUAAAAUUCUUGUGAUGAUUCAUAUUCAAACUCUUUAUCUAUUCAAAUCGUAAAGUUAUAUAUUCCGCAUGAAAGUCUUAGGAAUAUUUAGUUUUAUAUUUUAGUUCUAAAGAUAUAUGAUAUGAGAAUUUAUAUCAAUAUUCUCUUACAUUUAGUAUAUAUUUAUUAUUUUUUGGUUAUAUUUUAAUUUUAUAAGAUAAAUAUGAUUAGUAUAGAAAUUUUUUUUCUUACAUAAAAAAAAUAUAAGUCAUCUAUAUAUAUAUAUAUAUAUAUAAAGUAUAACACGACCAAGCUCAUGAGUUAGCUCAUGUUCAUUAAAAAUCGUUCAUAUAACUCCUAAUCUAAUUUAAGCUCGAUCAUUAAAUUCAUUUAUUAAAUGAGUUUAAAAAAUAGAGAUCAUAUUCAUGAAAAAUUGUGCUGAGCUGAACCAGCUCAUGAGCUAUAGCUCAUUUUGACAUCUCUAAUUUUUUUUUUUUUAACUACAUUAGCAAAUGGAUAAAACCAAGUUUAGGGGACAAAAAGAAACUAUGAAAUGGAGAUACAAGGGAAACACAUAGAAAAAGCUCAACCUUAUAAACAUCUAUGAGUUAAUCUAGACAGUUUCUCUUAAGAUCCUUUAAUGCAGCCUUAAUAUUUUCUAGUGUGGGCCUUAAUAUUUUCAAAUGUGGGCCUAAAAUUUUCUAGUAGUAACGUGGCUUAAAGUAAAUUUAUUGGACUUAUGGAAAGGCUGACCUGUAACAAAAUCCUAGACAAUAACACAAUCUACUUUUUUUCAAUUUAUGUAGAUUAAAGAUAUUAAGAUAUCAUUAAAACUAGAUCGUCUUUCCGCGCUACGCGCGGAUAAUUGCUCUAUAAAAUUUUAGUUAAAUAUGUUGUGUGAACAUAAGAUAUUGCAGAACCAUUUUCAAUUUAAAAACUCAUUUUGAAUUAUAAUGGUAGCAUAAAAAAACACCUUCAGUGAAGAUUCUAAGCUUGGAAUUCUCAAAAUACAUAUAUGUUAUAUGUAUAUAUUAUAUUAAUAUUUAAUUGUAGAAUUAUUAACUUUACGGAAAAUACAAAUCAAAUGAUCAGAAAAAAAUAUUUUGAGUUACGUUUUUUGUAAAGUUAAGAACCUAUAAUUAAAUAUUAAUAUAUUUAUACACAUAUAUGUAUUUUGGGAAAUCUAAGUCUAGAAUUCCUAUUGGAGAUAGUCUAAGAUAGAUGAAAUAUUUUGUUUGUAUACAUGCUUGAAUAAAAAAUCAAAAUUAUUACCAACAUAUGUAUAAAAGAUUUCUUUUCCAAUAACACACUUAAAAAUAUCAUUCUAAGUUCACGUCAUCAAUUUGAAAUUAAUCUCUGAAUUUUGUUUUUAAGACUGAAACCAUUUUGAAUAUGUUUGGUUUUGCCGUAUUGACUUUAGUAAAACAAAAAAAAAACAAUAAUGUAAAAUUAAUUAUAAGCACAAUUCUCUUAAAUAUUUUUUAAGUUUUUUUCACCAACAGAGUUCCAAAGAGGAAAUGUUCAAAAUAGAUUUAAUUAAGGAGGCAAAAGAUCGUUUUACCUUUUUCCCUCCUUUGCUCUAUAGAUAUAUAAAUAUAAAUAAUUAUUUAAGUAAAUAAUAAACAUUAAAAAUUAAAAAAUAUUUUGAUAGUUCUUAAAUUAUAUGUUUUCUAAUUUGAAUAUUUAUAAUUUUCAAAUUUUCUUUUGAAAGGCAAAAUGAUUUUUAAAAUUUUUGAUUUUUAAUUCUAAAUAUUUAUCUAUUUAUUUAAAAAAUUAAUCUCAUCUCCAAAAUUCACCUCUCAUAUCUAGACUCUAAAUUUAUAUUAGUUACCGCUAACAAUAUAAAUAUCUAUUUACUCUUUAAUAAAAUAGAUAACAUGAUGAUUUCUAAUCGUGUUACUCAUUGGAAACUCUUUUGGUGAAAAGAUUAAAAAGAUCAAUCCUUAAAAAAAAAUAUAUUAUAAUAUUAUAUUUUAUUAGCAUAAUUUUUAUUUUAUUUUUGUUAUAUUUCUUUAAUUUUAUCAUUCAAUGGUCAAAAAGGUAUAGUUCAGAAUAUAGUUUUUAUGUAUUUCAAAUUUAAAACCCAACUUAUAAAGAACGAAACCACAACACAUGCUUAGGAAGGAGAGUACCUCAACUUCACAAGUCAUUAUUCUUUAUUUAUAAAAAUAUGCAAGAACAGAGUUCAAAAAUAGUUUGGAUAAAGUUAUGCUAGACUCCCUAUGACAGAAAUGAAUUAAUCCAGGAGCAUGUGCUCUCUUCAUCGAUUGCGUCUGGUUGGCUUUCUGCUACUACAAAUGGUGGCAGAACUGCAGGAGAAACAACCUUCGUCACACUUAUGGUCUGUCUCUUAACUGUAAGGUUGGAGCUUGAGACUUCCACUAGACAUUGUGGAGUUGGCAUCUCAUGGUUAGCACCGAUGUUCCCAUUAGCCUGCAAUAUCAAACAUGAUUAAGUCAGUUUAGAUUGUUUGGGAGGUGAAAUAUAAGAUGAGUAUGAGUAACCUCGAAGUAAUUGUUAAUAAUCUCUAACGCCUGCCUCCCUGUUAGCUCAGAACCAGUAUUACCAAGGAGCACAAAAGUUGCCUUAACGACAUUGUCGUAGACAGAUAUCUCAGCACGGUACCUGUUACAAAGAGAAAGCACACGUGAACAACAUGCACACGUGAACAACAUGCUAAGCGAAAGUGUAAGGUGAGGGUUUUGUAAUGUACAUUUCAACUCCAGAAAAAACAAUCAACUCACCAUCUAUUCCGAUAUAAUCAAAACACGAUAACAAUGUCAUAGAUUUAAAUCUCAAGAAGACCAUUGUAGCUUGCUAUUGUCUACCUCAUGUUACCAUGAGUAUUAAAAACUAACUGAAUCGAAACUAAGAGCUUUCUGUUAAUCUUAUCUAUCUAUGCUUUGGACAUAGUUGAACAAAAACGGACAAUUAAAAAGACUUCAGACUGUUUUGAUAAAUAUAAUGCAAAUUAAUCAAGAUGUUCUUGAACUGAUUCGUGAUUGAUUAAUCAAGAUGUUAUUGACUAAAACAUGGAAACGUCUUACAGCUAGCUGGUAGGCCUCACCACAAGGAUUUGUGUGCUUCAUGACUGCACAUGUCGGGUUUUCAGAAUCUGAUACGCAGUUCCACGCUGAGUCAACACCAAGAUAAUUGUUGUAGACAUUUCCUGCUCAUCAGAAAAAAAAAUUUAAGUAAUAUAUGGCUGAAAAAUGAGGAUAAAGAUUAUAAACGGUAGUUGAGAACUAUAGUUGAGUACUAAGACCAUUUGGCAAUCAAAACCAAAAAGUAAAAUUAAUAUACCUUUACAACUAUAAUGGCAAAACGAUUAUUACCUUCCUCUGGAGCUUUGCCCAAAAAAAAAAUUGCCCAAAAAAAAACCUUCCUCUGGAGCUGAAGCGAUGUGUUGCAAUACCCUAGCACUCGCUUCAGUAAGCUCGUCUCAACAUAAAAUGCAGUCAUCCUGUAUGGAGCUGAAUCAGAUGGUUUCCAUACAGAAUAAAAUUUAAACAACUCUAUUGUUGAUUUCUCUAUCAUUGAUUUCAGUUGAAUUAAAAGGAGAUUACCCCAUCGGAAGUAAGUUUCUAAGAAUUUGCUAAAUUUUAAACUAACAUAAACACAAAACUAAAACAUAAAUAAUCAGAUAACAACAAACCUUUUAAAAGCCUCUCUCUCUUUGUCUCUCUUACAACCUUUGCGCUUUGAUCUCAGCUUGGUUACCAUACUCUGGAUCUUUAUCUGCAUCCCAAUAAAAUACCAACAACAACAAAAAAAGCAAAAUAAUUUAAAUAAUUUAACUGUAUUCGACAACAAAACCUAAACCUUACCAUAGAGAUCGCUUCAAACUCUUUGCAUGAAUGGAACCAGAACCAAUUGAACUCAAUCGCUAAACUAUGUUCUUGAAGAACGGAUAGACCUUGAAAGUGUCAAAAAAAUUUGAGAUAAGAGGUUAAAGAGGCUGAGAUCCACGCUUCAGAAAUUUUUAUACUGGCUUACACGAUUCUGAGCUAUGCACCUUGUAGCACAGAUUCAUGUUGAGGUGUAGUAUAGGUUAGAUGAUAAGAAAAAGGUUAUGAAAUUCAGGGAUUUAGAAUAUCAAGCCAUACCUCUUUGCCAUAAAUAACAGAUCAAACCCUAUGAGGAUCUUUCUUUUUGCAGGAUUCAAAGCUGUAGAUGGAGCCAAGCAACCCCUUUUUUCUUCAUGGAACUGGUGGUCGAUUCAGUUGGAGCUUUAGUGGUGAUUUUCCUGGAUUCUUAGACAUUGAUGCGCUGGUUGAUAUUGUUGGAGCUUUGGUGCUAGAUUUAUUCAAAGCUUUGGAUCUGGAAAUCUGACUGUUUCUCAUCCAUGGAAGCUACCAGAGGAGAUUUGGAUUGGGGGGAGAGAUGAAGAGUAUGGAUGAGUUGAAGCUUUUAAUAGCUUUGAUGGUGGUGGACUACAUUACACAAUCGACUGAUAUCUUUUGGUUAGCAAAACAGUGCCACGCUUAUGUAUGAUAUAUAUUCACUAUGUGUCCUCAAGUGGUCGAUUUCAAACUAUGUUGUUUUUGGUUUUAAGGUGUAGAACAACUGCUUUGGAACGUUUAAAUGAUCAAACUUGCAAUGUCCUUUUCGUAAAUGGUCCUUUGGAGAAUAUUAAGAUACCAAGACCACCUCCUCCUCCAUAUGUAUGGAGUAUGGACUCUGGUCUCGUCAUAAUUGUGUCUAGAAUUUCACCAGGAAACUCUUUCUUACUAAAACACUGUUUCUCUCUAAACUAGUUGAUUGUGAGUUCAUGAGAGACUCGCUUACGCAGAGUACCCUACACACAGUCACUGGUUCAGGAUGUAGUGAUUAUAUAUUUACAUAUGUAGAAGACUAUAAACAAGGAUUCUCUCUUAGCAAAUUACAAGUAUUGCUUAUAUUAUCAAUGACUAAAUCACUCAUAUAUACAAUUGAAUACGUUUCUCCAAAAUUUUCUUGUUUUUUUGUUCUUCAUUUUAACACAGUUUCUGGCUACUAAUAUUAGAAAUAUAUAACACUUGCAGUCAGCAGGUUUGCCCGAGUGGUUAAGGGGGAAGACUUAAGUUCUUCUGCACAUAAGUGCGCGUGGGUUCGAACCCAACAGCCUGCAUACUGUUUUGGAUCUGAGCAGCGUUUUAAUUGGGCCACCGAUCAGCCCAUAUCUGUAAAGAAAAUAAUAUUGAGUUUGUCCAGCCAAAAUAUAUCUUGCAGAUACUUUGUUCCAAGAGACAGGACCUACACUGAGCUUAUCUUUCAGAGUAUCGUUGUUAUUUUUCCAAACAUCUCUGAUUUUAUUGUAAGUUAAAUUGUGUCAAUGAAACAAUAGAAAAACCUUAAUUUAACAAAAUUAAGACAUGCAGAAGAAACUUGCGGUUAAACCUAGCAAGUUUGGCUAAAAUACCAUCAGUAUGUCAAAAUCAAGUCUAUAAACAGCUAUAAACCUCUAAUUAUUUUUUUCAAGCAUAAAAUAAUUUAUGAGAAAAAUGCUUACCGAAAAAACAUGGAAAUAAAAGUAUUGUUCAUUUCCUUACAAAGAUGAGCUGUAAUGUUUGUUACUUUGUUGUUAUUUGCACCCAAACAAAAACAAUGCAUGGCACCAAAAAAAUGUUUGUUAAUUGACCACGUGAGGUGAUGAUAAGUGACAACCUUUGUUUUUCUGUAUCUCUUACAUUUUAAUUAACAGUCUGAGUUUUGUAUAGUCAGCGCCAUCCCAAACAAUUAGGUGGCUUAAAACAUUUGAAACAAUGUGGCCUUCAUAGAAAAACAUCGUCUCCUCUAAAACAUCGUCUCAAAGACAAAAUUAUGUGUGUCAAUCGACAGGGUCAAAGUUUUUUAAAAGUCACGCUGGGAAGAGUUUUUGUUUGUUUGUUAAAUAAUUUAAAUUUCUUCUUAAUGUCAUUUUGAUAGCUAUAAAUAUUAGAAAAUGGAAAAUCGUAAGAAGGAAUGAACAAAGUACUGGCGAUCAUGCAGUUUUGGUAUUAAUAUCAACUCAAAUAAAUGAAAAAGGCUUGAAAAAAAAAUUUAAAAUGUUGCCCUAAUAUUUUUAAAAAAAAUUAUGUGGUCUAAAGCUUGUGCUUUACCUGCCUUAAGGGAGGAACCGGCCUGUGUAUAGUAGCACGACCCUGAGACUUUUCAUACUUAUCUCGAUAUCAUCUACUCCAACUCGAUCGAUGUUGUUUAUGUUUGUUUACAAAAAUUUAAUGAUAUUAUUAUAAGUUACAGUCUUGGCUCUCAUGACUCUGACAGCAGGCUCUUGUAGCUAAAUAAUACACUUCCCGAAGUACCAUUCACACUUCUUCUUCUCCUAACAUUAAUUUUCCCACUUGAAAUUGGAAUAUUUGACGGUGUCCUAUUGAAAAAUGUUGAAUAGUUGACGCUGGAGCCUAAUUGCAUGCAGGUCCCGUGUUAAGGGCGAUAUGCCGUCUAGUGUUGAUAUAUAUAAGUACAAAUGAUGGUUUGGACACUAAAAUAUUAUUUCUUAUACUUGUAUUUACUUCCACUUCAGUUUAUGUGUAAAUUUAGUUUAGAAAUUUUAUCCAAACGUAAAUUAUUUUUAAGAUAUACGUUUUUUUAAAUAAGUUAUUUUUUAAUUUUUGCUCAUAAUGAAACUACUGAGAUGAACAUUUAAACUUAGUCUACUUUUUCAGGCGAAAUUCGAACUUGAGAUCUUUAAACUCACUUCAUCUGAAUGGUUGUGUUGAUAUCCUAAUAGAACAUACACAUUAUAGUGUUAUAUAGUUCUUUACUGUUCUCAUGAUAAUAACUUUUUUUUAAGCAACCUUCCUCUCCAAACAUAAGAUAAUUCUAGAGCGAGUCACAUGAUAUAUCUAGCUGCAUUUUGAUAUAAAAACAUAGUAUUUUCAGACUUGGGUCAACCAAGUAGAACCGAGAUAAUCAAACUCGAGUUUUGAGUAAAAUUAUUUUAUUUUCUAUUUUCCAAAUCCAAAAAUAAAUAAAUAAGCUAAAAACAUUUUGAAAAGGUAUUUCAACCCACAAAUCAAAUCCAUUAGAUAGAAGAACUCGAGCUGAAGGCAGCCAAAUACAUUUUGAAAAGUUAUUUGAAAUUUGAGCCGUCCAAAUACAUUUGGUUUUGUUGUGGUUUAGUUAUAUUGUAAAUUCAAACUGAAGCCAAAAUCUAUUUAAAUAAGCAUACUAAAGAUUCUUAGUCUUUACCUUUUACGAAUGGGCUAACUCUUUAGUGACGUUAAUCCUUAUCACUCGAUCUUCAUAUAUAUGAUAUUUCUCAUAAUAUUAAGCUAGGCCACCUAUUUCUUCACAUUCCAUGAAAUAACAUUAAUCGCUCGAGAAUUAAACUGUCAACUUUUAGAUAUAUGAGCUCCAGAUAUUUGUUAUUAAGGAGCUCAAAUAUAUUGUGUAUUCAAUUCGUCCACGCUCUUUGAAUAAUUCAAAUUCUGUACAAAAGCUAUAUAUAUAUUGAAUUUUUUUUUUCUGAAAAGAUAUUCUCCAUAUAAAGCUAAGUCAUAAUGACCAACGAAUAUAAGAAGGCAUAUAUUAAUUACUAAAACCAACUUGAUAUAUAUGGUCUUCGAUUUGAAAUCUUUCACGUGAUUUGAAUUUUAUAUGUUAAACGACAAACCGUAUUCUCGUGUUGGUAUUCAAAUGAGAUGCAAGUACUAACUAAGCGCGGUGCACUGCUGGUUUAUCAUAUCCCCCAUACGAUAAAUUAAUCUUAACUAAUUUAGAAGACAAAAUUACGUAACUACGUACAAAGUAUUUAUCAACUGGUUAAAUAUUGUUAUUUAGCGAACAGCCUUUUACAAGACUGUAUCCCGAAGACCGCAGUGAUUUGUCCAUUAAUCUUAAUUUAUUUUACUAUUUACAGAUGAAUAUCUGGACAGAUAUAUUUGGCAAUUGUAUUGACUUCAUAGAUAUUUGCCAAUUCUAUUGACUUCGUUGACCUCGAUGCAUGCAAGCUAAUUGUCUGCGGGUCUUUUGGGUUACAUUUUAUAAUUAUGCUAUUGAACUCUUAAUGGACCGGCUUGUUUUAAGCUUUAACUAUACGCAACUCGUGGUUUAUAUAUAUAAUAAUACAUCAUUUAGUAAUGGAGACGUAAGUUACUAACUUAAUUAUGGUUCACAUCAUUGGCACGUAGACAAAAUAUUACGGAACUGAAAAGUGAAAACAGCAAAUCAAUCUAUAUGUAAAAAAGUUACGUAUUCGACUAAUGCUGCAUAACGAAAAUACUCAAGUCUGGGAUAUAAUGAUCAGCACCAGCGGUUCAUAUUAUCAUGUGAUAUCAUAAAUGCCAAUAUGUCAUAAGAACAUCUAUAACGUAAAACUCUAUUUAAAAAAAAAAUGGAAUAAAAGAGAAAGUAGAGUAAAAUUGUGUCAACUCAAUUCUAUAUCUCAUUCUAUAAUACAAUAAUGAACAAACAAAAAAUAAAUUACUCUAUUUACGAAAUAAACUCUAUUACGGAUGUGAGAUAUAUAAUUGAGUUGAAAUAUUUCUUAUUUCAUAAUCCAUUUUACUCUAUUUUAGAGGAAAUAACGAAAUACGAUUGGAGAUGCCCUAAGACAUGGUUUUAUCAAUACACGUAUCCAUGAACACAUUUAUAUAUUGGACACGUAUGUGUAUACAUUUUAUGUAAAUGUGUGAAUAGACAUCUGUAUAGGGUAAAGUGAGCAACUAACAUGAAAAGAAAACAAUUUCUUACAAACUAGAAGAGCACCAAGAAAACUAUAAAAUCAUUUGUUUAUUUAGAAGAAACAUAUAUAAGUACACAUUUUGUUGCUUUCAAAAUAGUAGCAAGCCAAUUGUUUUUUUUUCAACAACAAGCCAAUUGGUUUAAAUAGAGAUUUAUUGACUUAUAAAUGUUGGUUUGUGCGUACCAUGUCUGUCGGCAGAAGGUUGCCCAAUUAAUUCCACCAAAAAUAUGUUUGUUCAAACUUAUAAAGGCGGAGACUGUGUAUAAUCAAGGGGGUGUAUUCAAUCUAAAAUUUAAGGUGAUUUGAUUUUUAAUUACGUUUUAGAUAAUUUUAAGGAAUUGUAGAGAAUAAAAUGGAUUUUGUUAAAUCACUCUAGAAUAUCAACUAAAACUAUGAGAUUUGAGUUUUAAUUUUUUUAAUUAAGAAACUCCACCUAAACACUCUAAAUCACCUAAAAACUUUAAAAUUCCAUAACUUAAAAUAUUUUCAAUAACAGUGGAUUUCAGAAUAUUUUAUAAAAUGUCAAGUUCAAUAACAGUGGAUUUUAAAUGAGUUUUUAAAAUUCACUUUUCAAUAACAGUGGAUUUGUCAUUUUAACAUAAAUCACCUAAAACUCUCAGUUGAAUACACCUUCUUAGCGUUCAGACUUAUCUUUAAAUGUUUAAGAAAUAUCAGACAACUGGAAAUAUUUAUGUGAUUAUAAAAAGAUUACCAUUUCUUUUCGGUUUGUUAUUUUCAACUAUAUUUUGUUUCACUAUGACAUAUGAUUUUUUUAUACUUGGCAAAAAAACAAUAACAACAACUAUAUAACUCCACUCGUCUGCAUAAUGUGAUUAAAACAUUAAUUAAAGAUAGGCGAAACAUAUAAAUAUGCUAAAAUCUUUUUUCUAGGGUUCAGUUUCAUUUAAUAUAAAAUUUACAGCGAUGAGACAAAUUUAGGUUUAUGUUUCGACUUAUCCAGUUUAUCUAAUAGUCCGAUAACAGAAAAUCUGCUAUCCAUAUCAUUGGUUAAAAAGUAUUUUAAAUUUGGAUCAAAUUGUAUAUGGUCUUUCAAAGAAAAGAAUCAUAUAUAGCACAAAGGCAUUCGUACCAACAUUGAUCGGGUAUACAUAAUAAAAAUUCCACUCGACAAGGAAAAAAACAAGAUUUGUCAAUAGAUCUCAAGUCUUAAACCAAUGACCAAAGGCUCCAAAAGCCAUUCAGGUCGGACCAGGAGUCCACGUGAAAUCCACGUCACAUGACCAAUGGUUACGAUUCUCUUUGAUAAGGUUCCUUUGCUGGUCAACAAAAGCUGUCUCUUUUAAAACUCGCACAUGUGUAUUUUUAGUAUUUGUUAAUUACUCACCAUUAUUCUACAAUAUUAAUACUAAUAUACCUGCUACUCUUAUCUUAGGACAGCCUAAACUGGCAAAUUAAAAAUUAUAACUUGAAGCUUGACGAAUUGGCGUCAUUUUACAGGAUCUUCUUGUCAUAUCUGGCUUUUAAAAACUAUUUGUUCCAAAAAUUACUAUUUUGGAGAAUGACUAAAACAGUUUAAAGUUUUUAUAAAACAGGCAAAUCUUAAAUAUUAUAUAGUGAGGUUUCUGAUCAAACUCUGUUUUAUUAUUCUUGGUCAAUCAUAUUUACAAAAGUUCACCAGAGGUUGUUUUAGUGAUAUUAUAUAUGCCUUACUUUCUAAUUUGUGUUGUUAUUUUUUUUCUUUUUUUUCAAAACAAUCAUAUUCGGGUAAUGGAAAAGCUUAAAGCAGUUUCCACCAAUCAAUAUAUGUCGUGUUGCUGAAAAAGACAUUUUCCCAACAAAUCAUUUUUUCUAAAAAAAUAAAAUAUAGCUUAAAGCAGUUUCCAUCAAAUCAUCUCUUAGGCCUGUCUGUUUUUUCCGCUAUGAUCCGCAAACGCAGCUUUUGCGGUUAGUAACGGUUGACAGCAUUUUGAAACAAUCAUAUAAACCGCUACAAAUCGCUCAAAACCGCUCAUAACCUCUUAAAAUCAAAAGCUAGUUCCAGCUAGUGUUUGCGAUUGCGGGCUGUUGCGGGUGAAAAAAUAAAUAUAAAAUUAUUUUCAAAAAUAUUUUAAAAUUUUAAAAUGGAAAUAUUAUAAAUAAAAAUAUAUACAUAUUUUAUAUAUUAAUUAAAAUUCACAAACAGUAUCAUAAUUUGCUUUAUAAAAACUUUAAACUAACUAUUUAUUAGAAUUUUUAAACACACAUAUAUAAAGAUAUACACAUAUAUAAAAAACAAAAUAAAAAUUUUAAAUUUUUUUUUAAUAUAAAUCUUCAAAAAAAUUUUUAUUAAAAUGAUAACUUUCAACUAAUUUGAUUUUUUUAUAAAUAAACCUAAUAUUUUUAUUAAUCAUAUUAUAUUGAUAAUUAUUAUAUUUUAGAGAAAAAGACAAAAAUAGCACUAAAUCAAGUUUUUGUUCUCAAACUAGCACUCAAGGUCAAAAGUCACAAAAAUACCACUUAAUGUUUUAUCAAAAGUCACAAACUUAGGGUUUAGAGUUAAAGGGUGGAGUUUAGGAUUUAGGGUUUAUGGUUUCGAGUUUAGGGUUUAGAGUUUAGAGUUUAGGGUUUAGGGUUUAGGGUUUAGAGUUUGGUUUAGGGUUUAGAGUUUAGGGUUUAGGGUUUAAAGUUUAGGGUUUAGGGUUAAGAGUUUAGGGUUUAGGGUUUAGAGUUGAGAAAUGAGGUUUUGGGAUAAGAUUUCAAAUUUUGAAAAAUAAAAAAAUUAAAAUUUUCAAAAGAUAAAAUGCUAUUUUGGUCAUUUUAGUUUUUGAGUGCUAAUUUUGUGAUAUAAACUUAGAAAGAUGUUAUUUUGGAGAUUUGCCCUAUAUUUUAUUACAAUAGUAUUUUUUUAUAUUUUUUUAAUAUUAUAAUAUGUUGAUAUGGGUAAUUUAUUAUUAAAUCCCUGCAAUAUUUUAUAAUCAACCAGUCACAAAUAUCCCGCAAACGCAACAAUUUUCAAAUAUUGUUCCAGUCAUACUAAACGCUUAAUAACGCUUGAAACCGCAACCAUCUGCAUCCACAAAAAACCGCAACCACCCGCAUCCGCAAACUCCCGCAACCGCAACCGCUGCGUUUAAACCAGUCGGACCCUUAGUUGAUAAAAGCGGUGUAAACUUGUUUAACAGGAAGAUAAAGAGUUAAUUAACUAUUAAAAUAUGCCAAAAUGGUCAAUUUAUUCAAAAUAUAUGCUAACUGUAAAAAAAAAAAAAAAUCCCAUCAAACCAUAUAACAGUUAGAAACUUGGAACUAAUUUUAAUAUAUAAGUUGCUGAUUUGAUCAAGAACUAAUAGAGUCCGAUUGGUAACAACUUUCGCUUUACGCUUUACGCUUUGAGGUUGUAGAGAAUUUAGCUGUCAAGACUUUGGCUGUUAGUUUAAGUUUUAUUAAAAUAAGAUUGGUAGUCAAAAUUAUAGAAGUUUGGAAUAAUAUUUAAAAUAUUUUAUUUAAUAAGUAAAAUUAUGAUACUAUUAAAAGUUUAAAUAUAGAUGAUUAUAAAGUAGUACAAUAUGGAUUUCAAAUGAACAAAAAAAAAUUCAAUGAUUAAUUUGUCAAUUUUAAAUUUUAAUAAAAUUGUUACAAACUUAGAUAAGUGAUUUAGUUACAAAAGAAGAAGAAAAUAAAACAUUUUUAGUGAAAAAAAUAAAAAAAGGAAAAAGAAGUUGCAAAAAUCAUGUAUUGUUGGCUUUAGAAAAAACAAUACAAAAAACUAGAGAGAAACUUAUAGAGUGAUUAAUUUUUAAAAAAACUUGAUUGGUAAAAAAAAAGCUUUAGAGGCUUUCUAAUCGCACGAAUCACUCAAAGUCCUAACAACAAUCGGAUCCAUAAUCACGUGAAUUAGGCUCGCAAUGACGAUUCUGAAAAUUUAGGUGCCCAGUGCGUUGAUUAAACAUAUCUCACGCUUUAUGUCAUAUUUUUAUUAUAUGUAAGAAGUCAGGAGGGAGCCACGCAUUAAUUAAUUUAAAUUAAAGGACCUUAAUUUAACACUAUAUUUAAUUAGUUUUGCUAAGGUGGCCUAAGUUAGGCCAUAGUUUUAGUUACCACCCCCACUGGAUUUAAUUAGUUAAGCCAACUUGAUUAUUCCCAACACAAAUAAGUAUAAUGUUAUUGAGAAACAUACACUUAUGUAGGUGUAUGUAUAUUUUCUUUUACCAAUGUUGUGCGAUGGGAGAUAAAAAUCCAAAAAGGACGGAUGAGAUUGAGUUGGGAUAUUACUCAACGUAGGAUAAAAUAAGCAAAAGACUUUUCAUUCUGAAAGAAACAUCUCACUCGUUGUCUUUAUCCCACUUGCAUUUUUGCAUGACCCAAUUCUCCAUUAGACGACAUUGUUGUCAAUUACACAAAACCCAUUUUUAACUAAUGCAUGUGGCAAUCUUGCAUCUUAAGUAAGUCGACCAUGAGGCUAUCUUACCAUUGAGACGGACCAACACUGUAUUGGUAGGCAAACGCGGAUUUUUGUUUUGUAUAUGUAUCUUGGUGGGAACGGGUUGAAACAUGAUUGAGUUGUGAUGAACCACUAAUCAAAUAGGUUUAAGUGUCUAUAUCGUUUUAACUCUCUAAGAUCUUUGUCUUCAACAGAAGAUAUAAUAAAAAUUGUCUUAAAAAUGGACAAGUAAUUACUUUUGUUUCAAACAAAAAUGGAUAAACAUUUGAAGAGGUAGGACCAAGAAAAGGGAGGGCAUUAGGUACUCUGCUCCGUACAAGAAUAUAGCUUUGGGUAAUACGAUGGAUUCAUCUCCCCUUCACAUACAAUCAUCCUCUCUUGAACUUCUUUGUCCC